GGCCUUUUGGCUAAGAUCAAGUGUAGUAUCUGUUCUUAUCAGUUUAAUAUCUGAUAUGUGAGCCAUUGGCUCACACGAUAUUAAAUUUAUUUUUUGAGGGGGAGGUCCCGUCACAAUAGCUUGCUAUUGGGGGCUUCGUGAGUCGCCUAAGCGUUGCACUACAGCUUUGGCCUGGCUCACCCCACCAAAUCAUAAUCAAAAUUUUUACUGUACUGGGCAAUGAUUCCGAUUAAUGUAUGUAGUGAGACUCAAACAAGUGGUUCCAAUUAUGAGUGAAGAUUGUUCCUGGCCUCUCUCUCUCCAAAAAGGGCUUUUGCUUCUAACAGAACAAAUACAUGGAUGACCAAUCUUUAUAAUUAUUAUAGUAGUAUGAUGUUUAAUGACAAAGGUAUUUAAAUGACAUUUGUGGCAAACCGAGGAUAAUAGACCAUAGUGUGUGUUCAUAUGUCACACCAGCAAAAAGCCAAGCAACACUGCUGAGGGGCAUUUGCAUACUCACGGUCACCAAGGUUCUGAUCUCAUUUUCCAGGUCAUCAAAGUUCUCUUUUCGUGGGUGGAGAGGCUGGUGCCUCGUGAAUGGAUAUUUGAUAGAACAGCAUGCAUUAAGGAUGUAUUCUACUGUAAGGAGAUGUUCACCAUCCCACAUCGCCUAGAUUAAAUGAAACAUAAGUUUUUAUGUAGUUGAGCUUCCUGCAAUAUGCUUGUCCCUUCGGGGACAUCCGAUAAAAUUGGAACGAUACAGAGAAGAUUAGCAUGGCCCCUGCGCAAGGAUGACACGCACAAAUCGAGAAAUGGUCCAAAUUUUUUUAAAGAUAUUUUGAGUUUCUUACGAACUAUUUUGCUACCGAGUUUUGAAAGAUAUUUUGAGUUUCUUACGAACUAUUUUGCUACCGAGUUUUGAAAGAUAUUUUGAGUUUCUUACGAACUAUUUUGCUACCGAGUUUUGAAAGAUAUUUUGAGUUUCUUACGAACUAUUUUGCUACCGAGUUUUGAAGCCAGAGUGUAGUAGAUAAAUGGUCCAAAUUUUUUUGCGAGUGUAGUAGAUAAAUGGUCCAAUUUUUUUUGCAAUUUUACCUAGUACUAGUUGUUUGCUAUCAAGAUCCACAUUCCAACUAUUUACACAAAACGAAAUAAGAGCAUUGGCCUGGCUCACCCCACCAAAUUUAGUCCCUAAUGUAUUCAUGUGUGAUGUCUGGAUAUUUAUGCUUGGUUUAUUCCAUGGAAAAUGUAAUCCUGUACAAGGAUGAUAUUUAUUUGCUUUUUAGCUGUAACCAAUUGUCAAUAGGAUAUCAUUAACAGAGAUGAACCUUAAAAUCUACUCACGGGCAAGACAAUAGAAUGCUGUGAAGAGCAAGUGGUGCAUCCUAGAAGAAUUAAGGAACCCACAUCGGAAGAGGAAAGAAGUACACCAGAAUGCACUUGUAUAAAAACCAACUGUCUGUCUAGAGAAUAGAGCACGCAGCCAUGUGAUGAGCACAAAGCGAACUAUUCUUUCGCCUUUUACUAAAGAAUACCGUGUGCUCGUCACUCACAGUGGCAUACGCCCAUUUUUGGAGGGUUUGUCCUUUUGGAUCAACCCCUACAAUUCCAGUUAAAGUGUUUGGUCUUUGUCAUGUAUUCUGCUAAGAGCAUGUUUUGCCUGUUUUCAUAGUUGUCUUGUACCGGAUUUGCUACGCAAGUGUUGAAGCCACAGAUUUUGAAAAAUCUUCCAAGACUAUCGUACUAUAGAAAAUAAAUAUGUAUUUGAGCUUGGUCUUUCUUGAGUUGGUAUUCCUGCAAAUUGCUGUGAUUUUGAUGCUGAAACCUUUUUAUUUUAAUUUAAAAAAUUUGAAUGCUAAAACUUUGGCAUGAUAAAGUCAGUUCUUGUUUAUAUUUAUUUCUGAUAUUUUUGUAGUCUCAAGCACUUAAAUUUUUGCAUAAUCAAACAAAAUUAUUGCAUGUUCGCUGGAAAAUGUUCAGCGGCUAACUAACAAGUGGGAUUAAUACAAAUGAUACAAUGGGGAUAAAAAUAUGUUAUAGUGAAAAAUUUAGUGUGUGCAUAAUCCCUCUAGUUAAUUACUGAAGUUAGAAGAACAGAUCAUGAAAUAAAAUUUUAGUCGGAAUGUGUAGUUGAAAGUAGAUAUAUAAGUUAUUCUGAAAAAAUACAGCAUUAAAAAGCCAAUGGGAUGUGAAUGUUUUGUUUUUCAAGUGAGUUGUUUUCGUCCCACAUCGUAUCCAUAUAAACAAUCCCGACUUGUGUAGUACAUAUAAACCACGCUGGCCAUUGGGUAAAAGCAUACCUUUCUCGGCCUUUUGGCUAAGAUCAAGUGUAGUAUCUGUUCUUAUCAGUUUAAUAUCUGAUAUGUGGGCCAUUGGCUCACACGAUAUUAAAUUUAUUUUUUGAGGGGGAAGUCCCGUCUCAAUAGCUUGCUAUUGGGGGCUUCGCGAGUCGCCUAAGCGCUGCACUACAGCUUUGGCCUGGCUCACCCCACCAAAUCAGUGUCUAAAUGUUGUAACCUACUCCUUAAGUAUCUAAAGUGAGGGGAGUUACAUAUGCUGAAUAAUUAUGUUGGAUUUUUUUUUUGACUAAACAUUACAAAUUAUCUACUCAUAAUUUCUAAAAUCUGAAAGUUGCAUAUUAAAAUAGACUAAAUAUACUUUUCUAAUGAUAUAAUUAUCAUUAUUUUUCUCAAUUAUCCAAUACAUGUAAAGUUUAAAAAUCAAAAUAGACAUGUAAAAGGGGACGGAGGGAGUAACAAACGCAUGACCCAUUCAGUCAAACGACCAUCCUAAAUGUAUUUAUUAGAGUAACAUGAUGUUUAAUUACAGGGGAAAGACAUUUAAAUGACAUUUGUGGCAUCCCGAGAACGAUAGGCCAUAGUUUGUGGUACCCAAAUGUCACACCAGCAAAAAGCCAAGCAUCACUCCUGUGGGCAAAUGCAUACUCACUGGUCACCAAGGUUCUGAUCUCAUUUUCCAGGUCAUCAAAGUUUUUUUUUCCCGUGGGUGGAGAGGGUGUGCCUCGUGAAAGGAUAUUUUAUAGAACAGGAUGCAUUGAGGAUAUUUCCCGUAGGUGGUUUUGCAGGAGUUUGACAGACUCUAGUUUACUUUAUACAUUGAAUAUUAAUUAGUUUCUUGCAUUUACAAUGAAUUUGAGUGUAACCAUUCCUAAUAUAUUUCAUUUCUUUAGCUAUGAUCUAUUUCUGGAGUUAAUUUACUCCCUCCGUCCCACCCAUUUCUUAUCGAAUGGGUAGUGGAAAAGAGAAAGAAAAGUGGGUAAAAUGGUGGGACUCAUUGAUUUUUAAUGUAUAAAAAGAAGAUAGUGAGGUAAAAGUAGUGUGAAAAGGAAAGAAAAAUGAAUAAGUGGCGGGACCCAUUGACUAUUUUUGGUAAGUUUUGAAAUGUAAAGAAUUGGGUGGGACACCCAAAAAGGAAAGUGUAAAGAAAUGGAUGGGACGGAGGGAGUACGAGAUAUUAUAGUGGACGGAUGUAUUGAAUCUCAAGCGCAACCGUUUAUUCUAAAUAAAAAUCAUGCAUUUAAAAUAUGCUAAUAUUGUUUCAUGCAUUUAAAAUAUGGCAAAUAUAGUUUGAAGUUAUGUUUGAAAUGUUCUGAUAUAUCUUACAAUACACAUGCAUUAAUGAAGCAACCGUUUAUUUUAGAAGAAAAUGGUGAGCACAAAGCCAAUUAUUCUUUCGUCUUUAUAUCAUGAAUGUGUUAUUUUGAAAGAGAUGUAUUUUUGUAUGUUUUCUUUCCGCUAAUUGUAUUUGUACACGUUAUAAUAUAAAUUUGAAAAUUAAUAUCUUAAAGAUGAAGAAAAGCACCGGUUGCUAUGUGAUUGAUGUAAUGUUAAAGUUAAUAAAAAAGUAGCAUGUAUAAGUGAAAUAUUAUUAUUUUUGGUUUGUAAGGAUAUAAGUGAAUUAUUAAAUCUGAAACAUAAUUACAAUAGCAAAAUCAUAUGGCAUAAAAUUCAAAGCAAAACAAAGGAAAUAAUUAUAGAUGCUCUUGGGUUUGGUGAUUGUGAGAAACGUCCCACAUCGAUAUAAAGCUGUUACAAAUACUUGUCCUGGGGUAUUAAGAUGGAGAUGCUGCCAGCCUUAGAACAUACUUACCUGGAUGGGGUCAAUGGGUGAUCAAGAAGGCCCAUGGCCUAGGUUAGUGACCUCCAUUGCACUCAGGAGGGGUGCUCGCCUAAGGUCUACCCAACUGGUGGAGCCUACAUCAUAAUUUGUGACAGGGGGACUUGCGUUCGCGCAGUCCCCACAAUUUUAGUCUGAAAGAAUAUCCGUAAACAGAAUAUCAACUGCUGAAAAGGGAUUAUAGAGUUUGUGCCUGUACCCACUUGUUUUCAAAACUAGAAACGCGAGAGACUUUAUCUGUAUUUUUUAGAUUUUAGAUACACUAAGUUAUACCACAUCGAGAGACUUAAGUUAUACUACAUCGUAAACAAUGUUUUUUGUAGACCGUUUGAUAUACCUAGAUUUGCAGCUUGGUAUGAUUUUACUGAGGGAUGAAUUUAUUUAUACGGGAUGCAAUAAUAAACUAUUCAAUAGAUUUGCAAGGAUAUUCGAUCUCACGGAAUCGACCAAACUUUUUCAUGUAGAUAGAAAUUAUUGGUUUGAAUGAGUCUGAGCCAAGAUCCAACAAAAAAUAGUACGGAUCGGUUUCUAUGCAAGGGAUGAAAUUUUUGAUGGUACCUCAACAAUAUUACAUUUCUUUUUUGAGGGGAAGGUCGCCUCACAAUAGCUUUGCUGUGGGGGAUUCACGAGUCGCCUCAGUGUUGCAAUACAGCUUUGGCCUUUUUCACAUUUACCAAAUCAAACUAAAGUCUGUUCUUUGAGAAUUAAGAGACUUCUUUGGAUAACAAGCCACUAUAUGUUCUCCCCAAAUGUUACGGCUGCAAUUGACCUGGCUCACAAUGUCGUUUGCAUGAAUCAAAGAUACAUGGUAGAUAAAUUCUAAUGAACAAUGGUUUAUCAAAUGUGGAUAUACUUUGGAGGAACUCUGGUCAACUUUGAUGUCAUUUCAUCCUAAGAUAAUUUUUUGACGUGGGCAGAAAAAAAUUAGAGAAGAACAUAAGUUAGAACAAAUCCUCAUCCUAGUAGGCAAAGAUAUACCACAUUGUAAGGGGAAAAAGCAUAUAUCUUGUUUAGAAAUGUGCCAAACUAGGCUUUGGCGGCCGGGUCUCUAGCGAAGGCCUGUAACUCAUGCGAGGGCUUUAAGAUGGUUGAAGACUGAAUUGUUUCAGAGGGUUGGUCAAUGUUUGGAGUACUUAUCUGGCUUGCCCAAUCCAAGUAGGGAGUUGGGUCAUGGACCAUCGGCCCAGGCCUUCUGUUCCUGGUCUUUAGAGAGGACGGCACCGUGUGAGGCUGGUUUCACAGAGCAGCAAGCACCUCCCGCUCCUGUCGGUGGAAGGAUCACAAGCCAGUUCUCCACUUGGCCAUCAAUACCUGAUGAACCAUUCAUCCAAACAACCAUUUUUUUUGGCACUGUGAGGAGCACAUUGAAUUUUUUAGAGGCAUUUUUCCAGAAUUUUUCUUUUUAGCUGGUACUUCAUUUCGAAGUCCCACAGAUAUAUGAUUUAAUAUAAAAUGCUUUCUCUUUUAAUGGAUUAUUAUUUCGUUCAUCAAGUACUUAAGUUUCAGUUGGUCCUUAUAACCAAUCACAAGCGCGUUUAGCGAAGGAAGUAGCAGCCCUCUCUUGCAAAAAUACAUGCUUCAUCUGUAAGUUUUAAGUACUUUUCUACAUCUAUUCAAAAAAUAUGUUGUGAUAUGCAAGUAUUGGGAUGAAAGAGCAAGCAGCAAGCUCUGUCAGUAAAGCAGGAAGCAGCACGGCUAACUAAUUAUAUAGAAAACUUGUUGAGGGUGAAAAUUUUGAAUGUCACUGUAUUGAUGCAUCAUAAACAUAUCUAUUGGAUACAGUAUACAUUGGUAUUGUCCUAUCAAAAUAAGCAACUACACAACAAGAGUUAAAAGUUGGAAAAUAUAAAUAUUUCAGAAGUCCAUGUAAACGACUCCCUCUAUGGUUGAAUGCUGUCUGUGUCAAGAAUCUCCGUGUUUGUGCCAGCAAACCAACAUUGUGAUGCAACGCUUCACAAUAUAAAACUUGGCCUUUUGUUCCCUUGCCAAGCUACUACAUUUCCUUGUAAAGUUAGCACAUUUUUGAGAAGUGCUUCUUUCUAUUGAUGACUUUCUACUUGCAGAAGUGCAUUUCUGCGAACAACUCCUUGAUAACUUUGAGUUCUUCUGCGAAAGACUUCUUAGUAGAGGAGAUUUCGAAGUAGAACUCCUCUGGGAAAUACUUCUCAUUAGUGAAGAUUUUAGUGAAGAUGAGGUGGAAGACUUAUAGGAAUGGCUACUUGAAGAGUCAUAGUAGUUCUUGCGAAGCUUGGACUUCUCAUCCAUGAAAUACUCCAUGGCAGAGAGAGGUAUGCUUAGUGUUUGGAAAUCAGUAGAGUGAAAACUGAGGUGAAUAUGGUCGGUUGAAACAUAGUAUUUAUAAUGGUGUAAUUAUUCAAGAGAAUUGGUCUCGGCCCCUCUUGCAUUGUGAGUGCUCACUAGAGUCUGAUUUGAUUGCUCGUUAUUAAUAGACGUUCUAGAUGGAAAAGUUCUUUUUUUUUUUUAAUUACAAGACAUUCUAAUAAUUUAAAUACAAGAUUGGAAUUUUAUUUUCCUAAAUGCCCUCGUACUUUAUCCUGAUUUAUUAAACGUUCAGCUGUAUUUAUCAUAGGUAUGUAAAUUCAGUAAGACCAAAAAUGUAGAUAAUGCUCAUAUUAAAUAUAUAUUCAAUUUUAACCAAUUAAUCCUUUAAUUAAAAAUUGCCGUGAGGGGAUGUUGAGGAGUGUUGUAUGAUUAAAGAAUGGCAGUGGCAGCGCUGCAUGUGGAUGCCUAUGACGACUAACUGUCCACCCUUUGUCUCAUUUCUUACAUAAUUUACAUCUCAAAAUCAGGCUCCCGUUUUCAGACAAAAUCUUCGAGUUGGAAACUCGUGGAAAAGGCCACGCAAGUAUUCAAAUUUCUGAAAUUGACGAGAAGCGAAAUACUCCCUCCGUCUCAAAAUAGCUGUCACAUUUGGUUUUGUGCCGGUCAAAUUGACUAAAGUUUGACUGAAAUUUAUUAAUAUUUUAUUAAUUGACAAAAUAAAAAAAAAAAUUCCACUGGAAAUAACUUUUAAUCUACUUUAAGAUGUAAUUUUCAGUUUUUUAAAAUAAUGAGUGAUUGACUUAUAAUUUUUGGUCAAAACUUAGUCAAUUUAACCAACAAAAAUAGAAACGGUUUUUCUAUGGUGUGCCCAUGGGCACACACUAAGCACUGAACUUUAUGAGUUUGGAUGAUUUCUAUUGGCCUAACUUCUUUAAUAAUGGUGGACCCCCCUGCAAUUACAACAACCACACCAAUCAAAACCCUCCAAUUCUAUAAAUGUUAGUGCUUAGCAUGUGCCCAUGGGCACACACUGGACAAACCCAAAUAGAAAUAUGACAACUAUUUUGGGAUGGAGGGAGUAGUAUUGAAAAAGCUAAAGGGUUAUGCAAGGGGUGUACCAUCUUGUUGAUGGGUUUUAUCUUUUGAUACUUCUUAGGUAUGUCGAUUAUUAUCUUGAUUGUUGAACCACCGUGUGGAGAUCCAUGAAAUGCUUAUAAAGAUGCGAUGUUGAAUGUGAUCUUACCGUUUUAGUCUAUAUUUUAUAGUACCAUCUUCUGGUGUUUCAUCACACGCUUUCACAUGAGAUAUUCCCCGAAGAAAAUAGAUAGAAAAUGUGGUUGCGCUCAAUAUAUUUAUGUAGUGCUCACUAAUUUACUAUAUCCACCCAUAUUUGUACUAGGUCGGUGGUAAUUGUACAUCUUCCAGGUGCAUUCAAUAUUUCAAUUCAUUAAAUUUUUUGACGAAAAUAUAAUUAUACACGAAUUAUUUAUGAAAACCCGAUUCCAGCUAUUUUCCGACCGGAAACCAGCACAAAAUGUCAGACUUAGUUUUAAAUAAGUGGGCACACGCACGUAUUUGCAGGCAUGGUGAGAACACUGAGAAAUCAAAGGCUCAUAGAUAUGGGCUGACAACUACUAAAACAAAAGGUCUGGGUUUCAUACUGCUCAACCCAGUCUUGUGCCCGUGCAACUCUGGAGACCAUCUUCGCAUUUGUCUAAAUUCUUGCUCCUCUUUAUAUUUUCAAGGUGGGAAUCAAACAGAAUCACCGAGUAUUCGAAAACGGGACCACACGAUUGAGCCUUCACUGAUUUUUGUUAUUUUUAUAAACUAGUGGUUAGUGUUUGCUGUUUGUACGUGUACAUCUCUUAAUUUCUUUGACUCGCGUGUGGGUUCUUAAAUUCAUUGGAGAAGAGGAGGACUGUGAGUAAACACAGAUCAGUUGAGAUCUCAACUACUACUGUACCAUUGCCACUGUCUCAUGCAAAGGGAUCCUAUGGGUAAGAUUUGACCAUCUUCGAUUUCAAAACUUUUAUAUUCAAUUUCCGUGACUGAGAUUUUUAUUUAUUGUAUGCAGACAGAAGAAAUAAGAUUCACGUGCACAUGACCCCUGUGCUACCCCCACCUCAUCACCAAAAAUUGUAUUUUUGUUACUACAAAAUCAGUCUUUCUUUUUCCUGAAAAGAAAUUUUUUAAAAAAUAUAUCAAGAAACAAGCGAUUAUGCGUCCAAAUGUACAUGAAAGGAACUCAAGUUAUGUAAGUAUGUAUGUGCAGUGGCGGAGACACGUUGGGCCCAGGACCUGCCUGGGCGCUGGGCCCCCUGACAUUUUUAUAAAUACAUGUUAUAUAAUCUGUAAUCACAUGUUUUAUGUAGAUCAAGUGGCAUGGUGUAGCAGUCCAGAGACCAAUGUUCGAUUCUGUUUUUGACCCUCUUGGUUAUAAACUCUGGCUUUGCCACUGUGCCACUGUGUAUGUGCACAGCUUGUUUGCAAUAUGAAAAACUGAAUUUAAACAAAUCAAUAUAUUAAUUAAUUGAGUUUCACAUCUUACCAGAGAAGGAGUCCCCAAUUCGAUAUGUUCACCAUGAUUUGAUACAAAUUACAACAUGGUGAUUAGCCGCCUGAAAAUCCAAGUAAUCUGCAGCCCAUGCAAGUACAUUUUGUGAUUUCAAUACUUCUAGAAUUCACAACUUCGGCAUUCCCACAAUAUCAGAUUUGUCACACUACCGCACCAAGAAAGAUUCAAAGCAAUUUAUUUUGCAAAUAAAGCUCUCAUUCAAUGAUAAGGAGAGACAUGGUUAUUGACAGGGCCGUCUGGGACAUUUUUGAGGCCCUGUGCUGACUUUAAGAAUGAAACCCUUCCAAAUGACAAAACAAAAUUUUAAUAUAUUUAAAAUAACAUAUCAUAAACAAAAUUAGACUAUUACAACUGGAAAAUUGUUUUUUUUAAGUAGUUAGACUUAAAUAUGUGUGUGAUGUGUGUGGCCGUGUGGGAUUUACUGUUUGUGCAGUCUACUAGUUUGUGAGGAGAGAGAAGGAAUAAGAAUAAGAAAAGACGUGCAUGGCUGGGUCUUGGGAGUUGAGAAUUGAUUAGUGUUUAAAUAAAAUAAUGGUAAAAAUUAAAGAGAUAUUAAUAUUAUAUUAUAUUUAUUAUGAGUGUACCAAAAGAUAGAAAGAAAUAGUAAUAAAUUGGGGGUCCUAAAUUUUCAUGGGCCCUGUGCUGGUGCACUUGUUGCACUUCUUCAAAACCGGCCUGGUUAUUGAGAAUCUUCGAACAUAUCGUUGUAAUAGUACUACUCCGAGUGACAGCCCAGAUUUUUGAUAAACGCAGACCAUCUUUUUUAGGGGCUUUAUAAAAGGAUUCAUAUCAUGAUCGUUGUCUUCCAAAAUUUCUGAUAAAUGAGUGCAGACCAUCUAUUCUCAGGAGUUCAGAUGGAUUCAUGAGCCAUACAUUUUCAAAGCUUCUAACCGUAAAUUUAGCUUUAAAGGAAGCCUACUCAUAUGAGGAGAAUAACAUUGCCGAAUCAACAGAAAGAAGAUCAUAUAAUUAAGAUCCAGUUUGCUCAAGCUUAAAUCAGAUUUUAAGUCAUUUUCGACCUCAAAUCGAAAAAUAUAUGUUCAUAUAUUAGGUAGAAGUCGACUUAAUUAGAAAUAAGCCAUAAAUUUACUUAAAAAAUAUAAGUUUGAGUUAAUUUUUCCGAUGAAUUAAGUUUUUUAAAUUUUUUUGAUACAAAUUAUGCAUGAGUCAUAAAUUACGCAUAAAUCACAUAUUUUUAAUAAUUCAUAAAUCAUUAAUAAGCUUCAGAUUAUCACAUUAAAUAUCAUAAAUCAUAAUUUAAAUUCAGUCAAAUUAAUAUAUAAAAACCUAAGGUGAAUAAUAUCUGUAAAUAAUUUGAAAUAAUAAAUUUAUUUUAUUAUAUUCUGGCAGAGCAGCACGUGUCUUCUUCGUUCGAAGAUAAAGAAAAUUUUCUUUCUUAAGAAUCAGUUUAUUUUGAAGUUCCAGCUCAAUUAAAAUGGAACUUUAAGUUUUUUAAAGUUUCAAUGUUUUGAUUUCAAAAAAAAAAGUUUCAAUGUUUUGAAUGCCGCUAAAUCUUAUUCACCGAAACUUAUAAGUUUCGGGAAAGUACUACCUCCAUCCCAAAUUAGAUGUUCCUGUUGACUUCGGGCAUGUAACUUUAGGUGCAUUGACCGUUUACUUCCGAAAUUUAUUUUUUUAUAAAUGAAAAUUUUAUAUUUUAAUUUUUAUUUGCAAAAAUAAAAUUUUAAAAAUAAGUCACGUAUCUAUGCGGUCAAUGAACCUUAAAUUGUGUGCCCAAAAUUAACGGGAUCAUCUAAUUUGAGAUGGAGGGAGUAUAAGUUUAUAAGUUUGUUCGAAGAGAUAAUUAGGGGACCGGCAGGCGGCAACAUUGAGUACUUUGCUCAAUUUAAAUACACAUAACUAAACACCUAAACUUAUUUAAGUUCCAGAAAAGUACUCUUUCCGUUUCAAUUUAUAUGUCCACUUUCAAGAAAAUUUUUUGUUUCAAAUUACUUAUCCAAUUCAACUUUUAAUGCAAUUAAUUGGUGAACAUCCAUUUUUCUUAAAAUAUGUGAAUUUUUUAAAGUGGACAUCUAAUUUGAAACAGAGGAAACGGAGGGAGUAUAAGUUAGAGCGGGAAGUCUAAGUUAAAGCAAUAGUUUAAAACGUAAUAAACAUGUUAGAAAGUAGCGAGAACAAAAGUUUUCCUUAAAAAAAAAUUAGAACGAAGGGAACAUUAAUAGGUGAACUAAAACUACAUACGCAUAGACAUCACUACAUGAUAAUCAGAAACUCUAAAUUAACACUACAUCUGUACAUCAUGUAUACUACAACUAAUCACUAAACAAGAAGGUAUACACAUUCCCAUUUAAUCAGUUGUUGAACACUGUCCUGCCGGCGCUGGCUAUCGCCAGAAAAAGGUCAAGAUCCGGAGAUUUAAAAUACCCAUUUUUCGGUGGGCCCCUUGCUGCUUCACCGGCGUACUUCUUCUUCUUUGGUGGCGGCGGACACACUAGUCUCGCCGGAGUUAGACAGUGUUUGGGCGUCGCACAACCAUCUUCGUCCGCCGCCAUAAAUCUCUCCUGCUCAGCUUCUCUUUGCAUCUCUUCUACUACGUACUAUAUGCAAACUAUAUAUAUACUAGUAUGUUUUUAUAUCUUUGCUUUUGUGGAAGACAAGUGAAGGCUCUCGGUGAUUUAAAUAAUGCAAAACAUAAGGAUGAUAAUACGAGUGCUGAAAGUGCAAUGGAGAUGCUUCCGGAAGGUACUUGUUAGGGUUUAAAAUUGUACACGUGUGGCUACGAGGUUCAUGUAGGUUGUCGACUCGACACGUGGGUGUGUUAUAGACCAUAAGUAGAAAGCUCUAAUUUGAUGUAGUCACACUGAUUUACAGUACAUAUUUCUUUUUACUUUAAUUGAGCCAAGCGGAGUGCUUUUCAGUUUUCACUUGUCACUCUUGUGAUACUGAAUAUAAUGAUAUUGUGGGCCUGGCCCAACCUUCAGUGUCCCUAAUGUCCAUAAAGGAUAUGAAAUACUCCCGCCCGAUAUCAAAUAUAUGCAUAAAAUUGUCUGGCCAGCCAUAUAAGAAGAUAAACCAAUAGGGCCGGUAAAUAUUCGAGUUUGCCAAUAAUUUUUGCUGAAUACUGUAGAAUAAAGUAAUAGAUAUUAAAUGGUUAAAGUUCCACGAGAUUUAGUCAUUAUUUUGGAGUUCAGUAUUGUUUGAAAGAUGUGCUCGAACAAAUUAAAAGGCAAAAUAUCAUUAGUUGAAUAUUUUGGAGUUGAGAACUUCUCCCCCAUAACAAGAGUUGUUUUGACGUGUGACACGUAAUUUGGGUUUUAAAAACAUACACUUCUACAUAUUGUUUUUCAAAUUUUCUUUCUCUGAAUAAAAAUAUAGAUGUUCAACUUUUAUUUGAAAAAAAAAAAUUAAAAAAAUAAUAUGUACAAGUAUGUUUUUUGUACACCUCAAAUUACGUGUAAAAAAUUAAAGCGACACUUAUUAUGUGACAAAGAGAGUAUUAUUUAAAAGAUUUGCUAAAAACCAAAAGGCAAAGAUUUGCCGGUUGGUUAUAUAUGUUAUUUUAAAUGAGAACUCAACAAUUAACCUAGUAAUUUCUUAAUUUUAUAAAAUCGAAUUUAAAAUUUAUUAAUAAAGAUAUAAAAGGAAUAAGGUCGGAAACGUGAGCUCGUGGGUUUACCCAGUGCGCACCCAAAUAAUAACGGCCACGGGUUCCUACGCUAAAAAAAAUAAAAAAAAAUGUUAUCAUAAAAAAUAAAAUGAAAAUUAGUUAACUAUUACUCCUUCUGUCCCACCAGCUUCAUUACGUUAUUUUUUAACACGCAUUUAAGUCUCCUAUAAAAUAUACUUGCAUAAUAUAUAUAUAUAUAUAUAUAUAUAUAUAUAUAUAUAUAUUUCUAAAAAUUCCUAAAAAAAAGGUUUGACGUUUAAGUUUUUAUUAAAAAAAGAAAAUUUGAAAAAAUGUCAUAUAACACUACUUUAUGUAAGUUAUUUGUUGGGACCGAAGUAGUACCUAUAUAAAUGAGUAACGAAUGGAAGAUCUUAAUUUUUCAGGAAUAUCAAUAUUUUUCUGAAAUGACAUUUUGUAUCGUAUUUCUUGAAAAAAAAUAUUAUAUUUUAGGAUAUCGUAUAAUUAAUUUGUUGAAGAUCUAACAUAAUUUUGUUAUCUUAGGUUAAAAAAAAAAAUUAAAUUACGAUAUUCAACAUGUAUGCUGUCAUCCUUCUAGACUAAUUUGACAUUUGAUAUUCAUCUCUAUAUUCUUUUUCAAUGAUAAACAAACAAGUGUCUGAUCCUCCUCGAUCAUCCUUCUUGAGGGGAUUUUGACAUUUUAUAUUUAUACAUGUUUUACUUUUGAUUUGAAUGUUAAAUUAGUUGAAUUCAAAAUAACAACACUUAGGUAAUAUUUGAGACAUUUGAUAUUCAUAUACAUUUUACUUUUCAAUGAUCAACUAAUCGAAAGGAACCGAGUAGAACUCCACUCAUCACUUGUAUCAAAUCAUCUAUGGAGUUCGUGAUAUCAUAUUGAUAAUCAAUACAUUUAAAAUUUUAUGAUAUUUGAGGAGGGGGCCGAAUGAAACUUAUAUGUGUUAUAUUUCAAUAAUAACUAGCCACGAUUUUGAGAAGAAUUUGAGUACGUUAUUUACAAGAUUGUUUACUGGCUAUAUAUGUUCAUCAUAAAGAGAUCCGGAUCAGUGAUCGUUGCUGUCGGGAACUUAUAAUAGUGCAUGUGUCUGAAUAUCUCGACUCUGCUGCUCUUUCUGGAGCUCCUCACACACAGCUUUCAAACAAACUGCAUCAAUCUUUUUUUCACAGAGAAUCGUUGCAUUAUUCCUGCAUACACAUCCUGACAUCUCCUACUACCAUCAACUGUCACCGCCCCGCAUUCAUUAUCAAAUGCUUUCAACUACCAUUUCUUCUCUUUUGGGAAGCCAUGUCGCUCGCUAGGAGAUUCACUCCUAGCACACGUCUUGGAGAAUAUAGUUCCAGUUCACACGUGGACGACUCUGAUCUCUCUACGUCGACCUCGAUCAUUUUUGAAAUUGUCAAUGUGAAGAUUUUCUGUAGGAUUGCAAUAAUAUAUGGGCAGUCGAGGAAAAGAUUUGGUCUUGUUUUCUCCAGGGACACGCGUCCAACUCUGCGCUCUGACAGAUAUCUGCUGCGACUUUUUAAAAUUUUAAAUUAUUAUAUGAAGAAGAUAUUUUCAUUAUUUUCCGAUAAAAUAAACAGUAGAUAUUUCACUUGAGUCACAACUCACAAAGUUUUUUUAAUACAACAAUCACAGUUGUAAAUAAUAAAAUUAGGACGAAUCAACCGAUAAGUUUUGCACUUGUGAUUAUAAAUUAAAGGUAAUUGCAUAUCGCACCCCGUAUGUAUCGUUCAAAAACGAUAGGGUACUUAUACUUUAAGAAACUCAGCUCGCACCCUUUAUCUUUACUUCUCAAAACCGAGAUGCACCCCCUGCCGUUAACUUCCGUUAACUCCGUUAAGUCACUAUAUAUAUAAUUGCAAUUUGGACCUCCUAACUUAUGUUCAAAACGAUAUUGUACCCAUAUUUUUGAAAACUCGAAUCGCACCACCUAUUUUUACAUCUCAGGAACGAUACGCACCCCCUCCGUUGAAUUCUGUUACCUUCCGUUAAAAUACGCAUCCUUCUCAAUUUACAUGUCUCUUUUGCUUUUUGAGAAGUUAAAUUGACUAAUUUUUGACCAACUAUUUGAAAAUAUGUAUUUAUUAAAAUAGACUAGAUUUAAUUUUUGAUGAUAUUUUUUCAAAAAGAAUUUGAUCAAUUUUUCAAAACAAAAUAAUUAAAAUUUAUAUAUUUUAAUCAAUAGAUAAAUUGAUGUAUUAUUUAUAAUAAAUAUCACAUAAUAUUUAUUUUUAUAUUUAAAAUAGUGUAUAUUUUAAGUACCUAAUACAUAUGUCACUAAAAAUUGUAAAAUCAUUUUGACUUGGGCAUAACUUAAUUAAACAAAAAUAUAAAAAAAAUAUCAUCAAAAACUUAAUUCAGUCUAUUUGUUUUCGCAAAUAAUAGAGGGUCCGAAUUUCGAAAAUAAUAGAGGUAACUGCAGUUCGGACCCUCUAUUAUUUACCUCUAUUAAAAUAGGCUAGAUUUACUUUUUGAUGAUAUUUUUUUUAAAACAAAAUUUAGUAUAUUUUAAUAUGUAACUUUCUAUUUCCUAAAAUAAUAAAUAAAUAUUUUUUUAAUAGUUGGUCAAAAAUUAGUCAAUCUGACUUCUCAAAAAGCAAAAGGGACAUGUAAAUUGAGACGGAUGAGUAUUUUAACGGAAAGUAACAAAAUUCAACGGAGGGGGUGCGUAUCGUUCUUGAAAUGUAUAGAUAGGUGGUGCGAUUUGGGUUUCCAAAAGUACGGGUACAAUAUCAUUUUUGAACGUAAGUUAGGGGGUUCGAAUUGCAAUUAUAUAUAUAGUGACUUAAUGGAGUGCACUGAAUUAACGGAAGUUAACGUAGGGGGUGCAUCUCAGUUUUGAGAAGUAAAGAUAAGGGGUGCGAGUUGAGUUUCUUAAAAUAUAGAUAUUCUAUCGUUUUUGAACGAUACUUAAGGGGUGCGAUAUGCAAUUACCUCUAUAAAUUAUUUCAAUCUUUUUGUUUCUUCCACCAUUCUAGAGUUAUUAAUUACAAAAAAUGAAAUCCAAAUAACGGGAGUGAUCCUCUUAUAUAUUGGAUGCGAAAAAUAAUCCAAAUAGGACUAACAUCACAAUCAACUUUAUAAUACCCCUAAUUCUGUCGAAAAAAGCUUUAUAAUACUCCUUCGGCUUACAAAUGUUACAUAUACUCCUCGUCAUUUCUCAUUUGAUCUUACAUAAUAUAUUCUUAUCAGUUAGGAACAAAAUUAAGUUUGAGCAUUGCGAACGAUAGACCUCGUCUUAAUAUUUUUCUCAUAAUUUUUGUCAUAUUUGAUUAAUUCUUUUUUCAAUGUAUAAAAAUACUUACUUAUAUAAUAUGUUUUUAGAAAAAUCUUUUAAUAUAUAAAAGUUAAAAAUUCAUAUUUAAUACAUAAAAAAAUUCAAUUAUAUCAUGUAUAAAUAUUGGGGCUGUUUGGCUGGGUUUAAAAGAAGUGUCUUAUUGCUUAAAGUAAAAAAAGUGGAUUAAAAUUGAGAAGUUGGUCUGGAUUUAUAAUCUAUUAUAAGUGUUUGGAUACCGUGACUUAUAAGUUUUUAAGUGUUUGGAUAACUUAACUUAUAAGUUGGUACAGUUUCGUAGUUUUGUAAUAUUAUUAUUUGAUAUUUACGAAAUAAAUUGAGAAAAGUUGAUGAAAAUAUUAGAUUAGAUUAAUUUUUAUAUUAUAUAAAAAAAUUAUUUUUGGUUUGCUUUGUCUCACAUUUUGUUAUAAGUUAACAUUUAUUUAUUUCUUAACAUUAUAUUAAAAAUAUAAUUUAGGAUGAAUGAAAAGAUUUAACCAAACUGCGGGAUUAUUAUAAUUUAUUCAUAAUCAAUAAUUUAAAUAAGUGAAAUUAUGAUUUGAAACUAUAUAUUGUAAUUAUAGACUAAAAUGUCUCACAUUUAACUAUUUAAGGGAUCUACAAGUGUGUUUAAGUAUUUAUAUAAAUAUUAAUAUAUGAUAUUAAUAUAUUUGAGUAUCUUAUAAACUUUAAAACAAAAUUUAAAUAAAAAAAUUCUUAUAUUCAAUCAUAUUUUGGUGAAGAUAACAUGAUGUCAUAGCAGGAAUAAAAAAUAGACAAUGGGAGGAACUAAAAUAAACACAAGCUGAUGGGAAAAAAAAACCAGGUUACGGAGCUUCUUUUAUCCGACUUCUUUUACCUUUUUUAAGUACUUCAAAUCAGUAGCCAAACACCAUUAAAAAAAAAAAAAAAAAGCGGGCUUCUCGGGUUUUAAGCCCAGAAACCUGUUCCCAAACACCCGCGUUAUCUAUCAAAAUAUUGAAAUACAUGCAAAAGGAAAUGGGAAGUUACGGGAAGUUCAAACCACAAAUAUAUUAGAUUAGUUAAAUUUAACCACCUCCAACAUAUAUUUCCCUUAAAUAUGAUUUUUAGGGCAGCAUAUCAACGUCUAUUCAUCAAAAUUUUAAUUAAUGAAUAUGAUAAUGUAAUUGAAUUUUAGUUUUAUUAGCUAUAGCCUAUAGAGACGCUCUUUGAACUUAAGAUUAUAUGCGGACCAUGCAUGUCCAUCUCAUACAAAGAUGUCAACUAUCUAGUUUGAAGAAAGAUGAGCUCUAAUAAAACGCAUUUAAUUAGCUAAAGCUGAGAUCCACAGUUUCUGAUGUCCUAAUUAUAUGUCUGCACGAUUGUUAAUUUGUAGGCGAAACGAGAACAAAUACUAACCAUCUUCCACGCAUGUGACAAAUGGUGCCGCAAUUCUCACGAUUAUUGAAAAUGUGUACUUGCUAUUAUCGUUUUUUAAAUUAUCAACUGCAACGUGUCCACAAAGAAGUUAGCCAUGACAAAUAUGGCAAUGGGGUAGUGAUUGUGAAAUUGAAGUCUACUUCUAUAUUUGGGAAUUUACGGCCUCUUUCGUGUUCCUUUUUGUGAGGUUGGAUUUUUGUGUUUACUUUAUGGGGUCCUGCACCAUCCAGAGACACAUGGGCAGUCGACUAUAUAGCAGUUUUUUUGGUAGACAAAAACUUUAUAAUAAAUUGUUUUUUGCUGGUACACGAAAUAGUGUCUUUGUCCAUACGAAAUAAUUCAAAUUUAAUUAAAUUGCACGAAGAGGGAUCUCGAAGAUCAUAAAUGUUUUGUAAUUAAAAUUUUAUAAAGUUUAUAAAACAUGUUAUAUGAAUAGUAUUAUUUAAAUAUUUUUAACUAAAAGAUGAUAUUCAUAGAAAAUAAUUUAUAAAAUUAUAAAUUUUAUAAUUUUUAGUUGAUGUAUGAUAUUCGAGAUCUUGAUGAAAGAGAAAAUUCUAUACAUUAAAUUUAAUAUAUUUUAAUAAAAAAUAAUUAUCAAUCCGCUCCCCACACGAGCCGAAUCUGUAAAUAAAAUUUAUAAAGGUAGAAGAGUCGUGGAACUGUAGAAGCAUUACGUCUGUACAUCCGUUUCUUGUUUAUUUGUCUCCCAUAACACUCAUUCUCUCUAUAAAAACAACUUGUGAGUUGUAUUUGUUCCCACAUUACACCAUGCAGUCUCUCUACUUUUUUCUAGAUUCCUCUACAGCGCAAGCACCUCUUCUCAUCUGCUCUUUCUUCAUCAUAACACUGACUUUCGUGGUCCUCAAAUGGAGCUUCCUUCUUCAUCCCAGAAGCAAGAGACUUCCGCCUGGUUCUAUGGGCUGGCCUUAUAUCGGAGAAACUCUCAGGCUCUAUUCCCAGAACCCCAAUUCUUUCUUCUCCAUCCGCCACAAAAGGUGCGCUAUUUUUCACACUCCUCCGUAUACGUAGUCUAGUGGAUACUCCUCUUCCGAGCUUCCGAGUCUUGUUACAUGCAUGAGUAGGCAUGUGUAUAUCGAUAUUCAUAUCAGUGCAAUCGACUAUAUAUUUUCCUAUAAUUGCAAUGGUUUACAGCAGGAGCCUUCCUGGCCGUUGGAUCGUCGAGAUAAAAUAUUUUUCUCCUUCUCUUGGACGGCGGUAAUUUCAUGCCGACAUGGAGAGAAAAAUAUUUUAUUUAAACCUUUGGAUUAAUGACGAGAUGAUGGCCGGUUAAAAGGUUCCUGGCCACAGGAACCUUGCAGUGUUUUAGUUUAUACAGUAUAUUACCUCAUGUGCAUUUAUUCAAUCAGAAACCGCAGCUAGUGCAAUUAAUGAACUGAACCUACAAACAAUUUAACAGAACUAUGAUUCAUUAUUUUUAACCGAUUAUUUCGUGGCUUAAAGAGGGGCAACUUCCAUCUAUUACUCGGAGGUCUCGCCCGAUUCUAUAUAGUUUUUUAAUAAAAUUAUAUUUUAUAAGAGUUUUAAAAUACGUGUCAGGCCCUUCUGUACUCUUAGAUUAUCUUAGAUUAGAUGGGAUGGAGUCUCUUGUAAUUUAAGAGACUGACAAGUUGAUGCAUAUGUGCAGGUAUGGAGAUAUCUUCAAGAGCCACAUACUAGGAUGUCCUUGUGUUAUGAUUUCCAGUCCAGAAGCCGCAAAAAGAGUUUUAGUGAAUCAAUCUCAUCUCUUUAAGCCCACAUACCCUCCAAGCAAAGAGCUUUUGAUUGGACCUGAGGCCAUAUUUUUCCAUCAGGGUCCUUAUCACUCUCGCCUCAAGAAAUUGGUUCUGUCUUCGUUCCUGCCAUCUGCUCUUAAAAACGCAGUUCCGCAUAUUGAGAGCAUAGUCAUCGAUAGUCUUCGUGGCUAUAACAAUAAGACCAUUAACACCUUAGAAGAGAUGAAGAAGGUAUGCUUACACGCGAUUGUUUCCUGUGAAUUUGCUUCAUUAGAUCAAGUUUUUAACUGUGUUCUGUCAUUUACAUGUUUGUAAAUUGUAACUCUUAUAAUACACAGUAUGCUUUUGAUGUCGCCAUGAUUUCGGCAUUUGGCAACGAUAUGGAAAUUGAGAUUGAAGAAAUUAAACAAUUGUAUCAUGUCUUGGAGAGUGGUUACAAUUCCAUGCCUCUGGAUGUCCCCGGUACUCCGUUUUACAAUGCAAUGAAGGUGAAAUUAAUUAACUAAAUUUCGGAUUAUUAGAGCAUCCGAUAAUGAGUGAGAUAAAAAUGCAAGUGCUUGAAAUCUUAUAUGUCUUUUGUGUAUCCACAAUGAUAGGCAAGGAAGCUGCUGACUGGAAAGCUGAGGAAUUUGAUUCAAAAGCGAAGAGAGGGCAGGGAAAUUGGCAAUGGAGGAUUGUUGGGAGUAUUACUGGGAACUGAAGAUGAAAAGGAAAAUCUACUCACCGACUCUCAAAUAUCAGACAAUAUCAUCGGAGUGAUAUUUGCUGCUCAUGAUACCACUGCAAGUGUUUCAACAUGGCUAAUUAAGUACUUGCAUGACAACAAUGACAUUUUAGAAGCUGUUACGGUAUUUAUUUUUCUUACCUUUAUCAUAAUUGUCCAGAUAGAUGUAUAUGCUAUUUACAAAGUUAAAAGCUUAUGGUUUUGAGUUUUAAUUAAUUAAGAUAUAGAUCUUGAGACAGGAAGUUAUUUCUGUGUUAGAUAAAUGUUCUCAUAUUGCCUGGUCAGGGUUGUUUUGCUGAUCUGCAGGAAUCCUUUUCUAUGAUCACAUCCUCUUCCUGUUUCAUAUAAUAUUAUAUGUGUCUUCCUUAACUAUAUAUUGAAUCUUUCAAGCCUAAAAUAUUAAAUUACUGAUCCUGCAGGCAGAACAAGAACAAAUCCGAUGCAGAAUAUUAGAAGAGAAUCGGAAUCUCACAUGGGAGGACACUCGACUUAUGACGUAUACUAGCCGGGUAAAUAAAGCAAAAAUUGUAUUUUCUCAGCUAGACAUAUUUAUGUAGUCGUGGUAAUGUAAAAUACAUCAGCAUAUCAAAAUGAUGCAUUGUGUAUAGGUUCUUCAUACACAUAACACAUGUGUUUCAAAUUUAAACCAGUGGCAAAUAUAUGUGGGGAAAACAAUAAUAUAUAUGUCUAGAUCAUUGAUUUCAGGUGAUCCAGGAAACAUUAAGAUCAGCAAGUAUCCUAUCUUUUACAUUCAGAGAAGCCGUAGAAGAUGUGGAAUUCGAAGGCUAUUUUAUACCAAAAGGAUGGAAAGUUCUUCCUCUCUUUAGAAACAUCCAUCAUUCUGCAGCUCUCUUUCCUCAACCUCACAUAUUCGACCCUUUAAGAUUUGAGGUAAGUUGCCUAACAUUGCAUUUACAGCUGAUAUCUCAUAUUUCUGUAUGAUCACUGGAUCUUUUUCCAUCAUAUAUGUUUGGUGCACUUAAAAUAUUGUGGCUGAUUUUGACUGUUAUAUAGUGGAUAGCGGAAUCUUGUCUUUUCUCUCAUCCCUUUUCUCCGGGAAUAAACCUAAGCUGACAAAUUAAUUAUAGUUAUUACCUAACUUCUAAAAUUUUGCUGCUUCAAAUUUUUCAGGUGGCACCAAAAGCAAACAGCUACAUGCCAUUUGGAAAGGGAGUGCACUCAUGUCCAGGCAAUGAGCUUGCUAAACUCGAGAUGCUCAUCCUACUGCACCAUCUCACCACCACCUACAGGCAUGUUUGAUACCGCUUAUAUUCAGUACUAAUAUAAAUCUGUGUGCGUGUGUGUGUGUUAAAGAUAUGUAGCCUCUACAUGUGGCAGUCAUCCGUUAUUGAAAAAACUAUUCAUAUUAAAUCUGUGAAGACAAAAACAAGCAUUCCGAAAGAUUUUUUGCACUAGAUCAUCAGAAGUAAUCUACUUUCCGUUCUAGUUUAUGUCUACAUUACUGAUAUAUUCUGAUAUGGUGGUGAUAUUUGAUCAGGUGGAAAGUGAUGGGCAGCAACAAUGGAAUACAGUACGGACCAUUUCCGGUGCCCAAAGAUGGCUUACCAGUUGCUUUAUUCCCCAUUAAAAAGACUUAGAAUUGUAUGUACAGUUUAUUAGCACUCCGGUAGGCCGGUGUUGCAUUUACUUUCCUCUAGUUCAAUAUUGGGAUUUAGCCAGAGUUGAAUUUGUAUAGCCCCAUUUAAUCUUUAUAUUUAUAUAAAGGAGGUUCCUGGGAUGGAUGACGUGGCAGCUCCCAGAAUCCUUCCUCCAACAUUCCUGUUUUUCUAGCAAUUGUCUAAUUUUUGUAUUUUUUUCCUAUUUAUGCUCUAUUUUUGUAGUAACUAGCUUUAUAGCCCGUGCGAGGCACGGGCAUGCUCUAACUUGACUUGUUAUACAUUUAUAUUUUGGGCUUAAAAAAACAUCAUUUGUCAUAGGAUUAUAGACUUACUUAAGAUAUACAGAACCACAGUGCUGAGAAGCAUGUAAUUCUAUAAAAGUACAUAUACAGAUUCACGAUGCAUGUGAUUUAUCUUGCAGAGAUGUUGUACCUUGCUACAUAUCCUUAUUCAGCAUGUUUGAAUGAGUGUGAUUUUGCUGCAUACUACUUGAGGAACUACAUAAGUGAAUAUUAAGUCAAUAUUUUCGAUGUAUAUGUACAAAUAUAAAAUACCUGCAGUGCAUAUGCUGAUAGAAUAUGCAAAUUUUGACAUUCUUAAUAUAAAAUUUGUUCUUGUUAAACUACAUAACAAAUUUUGCCAAGGUAUAAUACAUAUAGCCGCUAUCAUAGGAAUUGUGUUAUUGUAGUAGCAUGAGUUCCCACCAAAAAUAAUUUAUGCACAUUAUUAUGAACCUUCAGCCCAGUUGUAAGUAUCCCUGUUCUGGCACCAUAAAAAUAUAUCUGUCCACUUGCAAGGAUCUCUAUUCUGCCACCAGAAAAAUAUAUUUUAUGUUAAAGAUUCACAUACAACAGAUAUAUUUAUCCAUGUGUAAGGAUCUCUAUUCUGCCACCAAAAGAAUAUAUUUUUCGCUAAAGAUUCACAUACAACAGAUUGUACACCUUAAUUAAGCGGCACACACUUCUACAGUAACACAUAGCCACAUAUUAGCUGUCCGUACUCAUGAGAGAAGAUUAUAAUGUGACAUAUAACUCAAAACCCGCUCAAGUACUACAAUUUUUUUCAUAAACUUUUGUAAAGCAUAGUUAAAAUAUAAAGGAACAAUGCCAAACUCAUGUAAUGCAAGAAUCAGUAUCAAAUAUACUGAUGAGCAAUUACAUCGAAAAAUAAUUUGGCCAUAUAUAAUAAGUUUUAUAAUAUUGUUCUCUAUAAUUUUGUAAGAUGACGUAAUCAUAUUUGUUUUAUUGGUCUUUUUUCAAAGAAAAAUGAAAAUGAAAACCAGAGCCUCUUUGAUUUCUAUAUAUAGCAUUGUAUACAUUUCAGCUUGCAAAAUAGUUUGAACCGUUAAUCUGUAAAUUAUUAUAUAUAUAUUUAAAUUAAUUAAAGAUUUUUAAUAGUAUCUUAGAUUUUAGGAGGAUCAUUAAUUUAACAUGGUCACAUGGCUCCAUUUUGAUCUUAAUUUGGUAGUUUGUGCACUCAUACAAUUGGGUACAAAAUUUUAAUAUUAAAAAUAAUUUUGAUAUUAUUCUAACUUCUUGGAAUUUUAGUAUUUUAAUUAAGAGUGCCCAAAUUUUAGUAUUUUAAAUGUAUUCACUCUCAACUACAUUCCAGAAAAGAGCAUAUAUUCCUUCUUUAUUUCAUAUUUUAUGCCUCUACUUAGAAUAGAAUUGGCUCCAAAAUCCAAAACCAUGGACUUUGCUUGUAAGAGGAAGAAAGGGAAAAAUAUAUUUGAAAAUGGAUACCACGUACAUAAAAAAAAUAAAGGCAUAUUAUUAAUAAAAAAAUAUAAGAAAUAAGACUUUUUUAGUUGGCCAAAAAAUGUAGAAGAAUGGUACCUUAAAUACAAGAAGUGCAGAUCUCUUCUUGUAAUGGUAGGCCACGCUUGUCCUUUGUGACAAAUACAGAGACGUUCCAAUAUGUUGCCACAAUUGCUUGAACAAAUCUGGUUAUGAAGUUUGAUUCAGAUUUCAACUUGAUGUAGAAGAGAUAAGCCAAGUUGAAUGAAAGGACUGUUGCAAACAUAAGCACUAAGAGUACCCCAACACCAAUUUCUCACCCAAGUGAUCUUGUAUAUAUACAAUACAAGACAUGGCAAUAACUAAAAUGCUAGUACAUGCAUAACACCAUCCAAAGUAUUUUGAGAGGAACUGAAGUUUUGGAACUGUCUUUUACCAAUCAGUUGAUCUGAGCUACAGGCCAAAGUGGACGCUCUGAUUCCUCCAGAACCAAUAAACCUAAUUCCAAACGAACAACACAAGUAAAAGACUUGAAAAGCAGUAGAGGAGCUGCAGCUGCUACUAAUUAUUUUUGAGUAGGAUGCCCCGCAAUGUAUAUAAUGAAGGUAUUCUAAAAACCUAGAGCAAGAUAUAAAAGAGGUGAAAGUCUUCAAGAUCUAAUAAAAAAAUAUUUCUAAAACAGAAAAAAGCACCUACAAUUUCAGAUUUUUUUUUAAUUAACCUAGAAGAUUAAAAUUAAUAGGCAUUAAUGUUGAACUCAUUUAUAAAAAGAACCAAUAAUUUAAGGAUUGUACAAGUAUCAAUGAGUUGUCACUAACUCUACCUUCAUGUCAUAUCAAUAAAUGAAAUUGAAGCUGGUAUUAGUGGCUUCAACAUAUUUGUAAAAGAAUUUAACGCUAAAGUAAAUGUAAGUUUAUCAAGAAACCUAACUUGCAUGUAGAAGCAUGGUCUUAUGAGUAGCUUUUUCAUAGAAACGGAACAUUUAUUAAACUUUUUAACCAGUUAUAGAAAACCAUCCACAGAUAUUGAAGCUGCUGAUUUCUUUAAAUCGUCAUUCAAUAGUCAUGUUACAUUCUUGCCAACCACAAUCAAGUUUAAGCAACCUUUGAGACACGAUCGACUGACGCCGAACAUGAUUUGGUUGUUGAUAGGUCCAUUUUUAGCCAUAAAUGAAAAAUCCUAAUUGGACCUACAAUUGGAAACUAAAGAUAAAAACAAUAGAUAUUCAAGAAACUUACAAAGUUGGUCUGAACUACUUCAGGAGAUGCAUAUACUAUGUUUAUGCCAGUCUCGGAAGGCAAUUUGUUGUUGGGUAUGCUACUGAACAUCACCUGCAAUCUCGUAUGCAGACUAUGACCCUUUACAUAAAAUCUUUAAAUAAAAAAUUUAGAACAACUUUGUUAUUAAACGAAGAAGAAGGCAGUCAGAAAAACUAAACAGCUCGUGAAUAAGUAAGAAUUAAGAACAAAACCUUAUUGCACUACAGUUUUAAGUUUUAUUCAACCUGUAGUAGUUUGCUGCCUGAGUAACCCACUAAGUUUGUGUACUUUUUCUUUCCAGUCGAGACAUUCAUGUCUUCUGGACCAACAAAGCCAAGAAUCUUCAGCAGGGGAAAAAGAACAAUUAGAAAUGUUACAUAAAGCGAAAUAACACAGGCACAUGAUCAUAACAUUGAACUUACAGUCGAACUAACGUACACAAUCCGACUUGGAGGGCCUCUGAUGAGAGAUGGGAAAAAAAAGAAGCAGCAAUAUGGAACAUAAGGCUGGCGCUAGAUGAUUCACUUGAAUAUGCUCUUCAGAACCGUACUUUGACUUUUUUUGAGGUUCUAAACACAAUUUGUAGAAAAAAUUUUAUACCGACCUCCUUGGAAAAAUGUGGGAAAAACAUCUAAUAUCUAAUAAAUUUUGACAUUGUAUGAAAAGUAUUACAACAAAUACAAGUCAUUUGCAUAUAAUUAGCUUAACACUAACCUCCACUAGAAAAUAUCCCGGCAUUGUUGAUGAGCACAUGCAAAAGGACUGAAAGCGCAUUCCAUGCUUCAGCAAAUCUAGCAACAGAAUCCAAUGAGAGAAGAUUGAGCUCCAUCACAUUGAAUGUCAAAUUUUGGAUGAGUUUGCUACUAAAUGUUUUAAGAGCCCGCGCUCACAAACAACUAACACAUUACACAUUGGUUCUGUAAUCUAAUCGGCUAAGGGGAGAAUCUCAGAUUCUAAGCGGUCCUGAUAAAUGAAUUGUUUUCCUAGAAAUAUCGAUGCCAGUAAGUGAGCACCUCAAUAUUGAGAGGAAGGUUCCUUUUAGACCAAUCGAACUGCCAUUUCUCAGUCAGUACAUUAGCUCUUGUAGUGUUCUGAACUGCCAUUACAACGCACGUCCCUGCUUCUGCUAACUGCCUGUCAGAUGCAGCAACAAACCACAUAUCAGCUAAGUACACCUGCAAAACCCGCGAGUUCAGAAAAAUACACCCUUUGUUUCUUUACACCACAUUUUGACUUCUGAUACACACUUUUAGACCACAUAGAAGAUAUAUUUCAAAAAAUUCAUGUUUAAUAAAUAUAUAUGUAAUGUACAUAUUAAUUUACAAAAAAAUAAUAUUAAGCUAUUAAACAAUUAACACGUCUUAAGAUCAGUGUUAAAAAUAAAAGCACCAUAUUAUAAAAAAAUUGAGGGAGUAGAAAAAACAUUAAAAUGGACAAAGAACCUAGCGAUUUUGUGACCAAUUCCAUUGGUGCAACCAGUGACAACACAAGUGAAAUCUGGAUGGAGAGGAGGAAGAGGCAUUGGAGUGUGCAGAUGUCUAGUCAUGAUCCUCCAGAACAACAUUUCGUGCAUCAAAUGAAAGCAUCCUCUUAGUCAUGCAAUCCAUCCCAGCCCUUUCUUCUUAUUCCACAUCUUGCUAAUAGUUCACCAACAUAGAAACCAUCAGUAUAAAAGUUAAUUGUUCAAAUUUACCGAUCAUACCAUAGGUCAACAUAUAGUAAAAUCAAGAUUUUCAUUUUCUUUUGACUCAAUUAGUAUUCGAUUCUUCAGACGCACAAAUGCAAAGAACACAUUAACGAUACAACAUAAAAGGAAGAAUGCAUACUUACGGAGAUAAAAAUAAAUGUAACACAAGCCGCAUAAACUCUUGGAUAAAUUGCUUAGAAACUCUCUAAUCCAAUCUUCUGUGCAGCAUCGUAAACACCUAGAACCAAAAGAAGACCCCUGAAUCGAACAAACAAACACCUAUAAACCAACAAAUAAAUUACAAUUUAAGAGAUUGCAAAUAGAUUUGGGGAAGCAAAUAUAGAAGAUGGAGUGUUACAGAUGCAAGCAAAAAACGGAUGUUGCACUCCUGCCUGUAAUUUUGAUGCACAAAAAAUCACAGAUGAUCCUACUGUACAAGUAUAACGAACCGGUGCUGAAAUUACAGGGCAUCGAAAAGAUAGGGAUAAGGAAGUAAUUUCAGAUUUCUUAAUGAUGGGCAAGAUUGUAAUUUCAACUGAAUUUUUUGGCUCACCAAAACCCAUGUUGCAGUAUUAUAUAUAUAAUAGAUUUGUAACUUAUUAAUUGCUAUCAGUUACGGGCUUUUGGUUUUCUGUUUCGCGUGUCCUUUUGUUGGUCGGCUCUCGACUGUCUUCUCUUCCAGGCUCUCAGACUCUGCAAUUCUAUUAUCUAUAUACCAUCUCUCUCGCUCUCUACGUUGUUUUUAAUUCGAUCUAAUUUUGUUUGCUUCUUUAUUUGAAUCUCAGGCUUUAAUUUAGGUGAUAAGCCGCGUUAUCGCACCAGAAUUUACAAGGGGAUUGAAUGGAUCGUGGUGAAGAAAGCUCCUGAGUUCAGUGUAUUGCUCUUUGUUUUCGCUUUUCAUGUCUCGCCAGAAGCUCUCUCUGCAAUUCCGUAUAUCAUCUCUCUCUAUCUCUCUCUGUUCUUUUUAAUCCAAUAUCAUUUUGUUCGCUUCUUUAUUUGAAUUUCAGGCUUGUGAGUGAUAAGUCCCAUUUCUCGCACACGUUUCUCGCAGCAGAAUUAAUAAGGCGAUGGAAUGGCUCUGUCGGGGUCUCUCAAGUUUGUGUCAGUAGUUUCACGCAUCUCCUUCUCAGUCUUUCAUUCUUCAGCUCUGCAUUUCUUCGAUUUUACUGAUCUGUGGUAUUAUUGUUUCUUUUGAAUUAUGAUUUAACUCCUAAUUUUUGUUGUUGUUGAUUCUUUGUUUUUCUGGCUUGAAAUUUAUUUAGUUAUGAUUAUAACUGAUUAACUCAGAUGGAUGGGUCACUGCAAAUGUUUGUUGUUAUCGAUUCUUUGUGGUUUUUCUGGGCUUGCAUUAUGUUUGAUUAUGCCUUAAACUCAGACUCCUAAUUUUUGUUGUUGUUGAUUCUUUGUUUUUCUGGCUUGAACUUUAUUUGGUUAUGAUUAUAACUGAAAUGAGGCGCUGCUAAUUUUUUUAUUGCAGCUGUUAAUGAUACAGAUGCUGAAAGCCAGUGGGAGCCUUUUAGCCUCUACCGAAGAAGCCGAGGUAAUACUUUGUCCAUCUUUUCUUGGUUCUUUUUGUUUAUGUAAGUAUGUAUACUUGUGUAUGUAUGUGUGCUUUCGUUUAGGUUCUCAAGGUAGCUUUAUAUGUUUUUGAUUUGUAGUAUUUGUGUUCAAGUUUUCGAAUGCUACAGAAGAGGAUUAACAAUAAACCAAAAAACCAAAUUAAACAUAGUUAUGUAUAUCGUCGGAUCUUGUGAUAAAUUAUUUAACCAGACCUUUCCACUUAUGGAGGCUGAUGUUAGUUAGUGCCAGUGAUCGCCAUCUUUAACAGCUCAUGUUUGUUUUCAGCUUCUGUGGUGUUUAUUUCAUUCCAUUUAUAUGUUCUUUGGUCUCAUUUGGGCUUCGUUAUAAAUUUUAUAUAUCAUCAGGUGUGGUGUCUGAGCUAAGGAGGAUGAUGUGGCAUGUCUUAUAACUCUUCAUCUUAAUUUUUCUAUUUUUCAAAGACUUUGCGGAUUUUGUUUGUGGUCAUGCCUCAAGCUCCUUUUAGCCAAUUUUUCUCAUUUUCUAGGUUUCUUACAUUUAUGCAUUAAAUCUUUUUUUUUUCAAACUCAAAAUUUAUAUGGCCGAUGGAAGGGUCAAGUAACCACCAUUAUGAUUUAUAGUGUGCCUCUUUGCUGUCCCUUAUUUAAUAAUGAUGUAAGUUUUAACUAGCGAUCAUGUAUACAGUGUUGUUGUGACUCAACACGUUUGCUUUUUUCUUCUUCUCGGAUUUCUCUUUUUGUAUAGGCAAGUAGUCAACGUAUUAGUAUUGAUCAUAAUGUAAUCUGUUUCUUGACACAGAUGAGACUCUUAGAGUUUGAAUGACUGAUGAGGAAUUAACAUAGAGUGAUGAGAUCAGCUUGAAAGAAGAGAUAUUAGUUCACUCAACAAAAAUGAAAAGGUGCUCCAUUAAUAUUAGAUUAGUCUGGCAACUUUUAGUCUCCUAAUUUCUUCAUGUAUAUUUCCCGGUUAUAGUGUAACAUCUAGCGAAGAAAUAUCAAAAAGUCUGAUUCAAAUCGCCGGCAAUUAUAUCAGUUGUCUUCACGCGAGCAGAAUGGAUUUCUCUAAGUUAGAUGUUUUUCCGUUUUAUAUGAUAUGAAGCAUUCUCAACAGAUUGUUCUGGUGUUUAUUUGUUGUUUUCUUGGUGUCAAUAUUAGAGGCGACACCAAACACAAUACCGAGGUUGAUGGAAUCUGAGAGAUUACCUAUCUUCCAUGUGAAAGGUCAUUUACAGAGUACUAAUAUAAUUGUAACUUCUCAUACUUUGGUUCUAUCUGGUGUUUUAAGUAUUAAAGAUAGAAUUAUUUAUUUUUCCCAGUCGGUGUUCAUCUGUUCCGUAGAAACAUCUGUUCCGGUUUGUAUUGUCAUAUAUUCUUAGAAUGAGGCCAUCCUUGCUAUAUCGCACAAAAUAAUAGAACAAGUCUUCUUCAUUUACUCUGCAGAAAAGUCUGAGCCAGGAAUGAUCGACACAAACAUAUCUAAAGGAGGCUGUUGUGGUAGAGGAGAUAAUUCUAUGAGCAGUGCACGUGCUUUAAGGGAAGCCUCUGGCACGGUGAGGCGAAAAUACUGUUCGAGCCAGGUUGGAUAUGCGAUUUGGAUUGACCUCAAAUUUCAAAGCCAAGACUUGAAAUCCAAGAGAAAACUACAAAUGCAUCCAUCAAUACAGUGGAAUAAACCUUUCGGAGGUUCUCUUAUGUUUUACAUGUUUCUACCCGGACAUUUAUAAAUUUAUAAAUAUUGAAAUACUGUGCCCGGUGAUGUAUAUCUGUGAUAUUAGGAAGGAACAUCUCCACUCAUGAAUUAUGAUGAUACUGUAGGUGUAGCCUUCUCCCUCCAGCUAUAUUUUCUUAUAUUUUAAUAAAAUAUGCAAAAUAAUAAAAUUCAGAAAUUAUAUAUGACAAAGAAAUUUAAAAUAUUUUAUAUUCAAUAUUAUUCUCACUCGCGCGGAGCGCGUUUUUUUCACUAGUUUCUUUUGUAAGUUAAAAUGUGCAAGACUCCAAGCUUCAUCUCUUUCGGAACUAGAGACUUUGUUAAUUAAUAGUGGCAAGACUUUACAUACUUAUUUCAUAGUAUUAUCUGUUAGCUUCAGCUGCUCUGUGCAUGCUGGAAAUGAGGCAGGGUUAAAGAAACAGCCCUCGGCAGAGGAAGGGCUUAAGAGAAGGUCCUGAGAAUUUUGGACAUUUUUAUAGGCUAUAGCAAGAAAAACCAAUUACAAACCGGUGUCCAAGCUUAAAAAGACAGAUGGAAAGACAGGGCGAUGAGUCCAUCGAAGUGCCAAAUCGACUCCCAUGAGACUCCGUGCACCAGAAUAUUCCGAUAGAUAGAGUCACUAUAGCUAUGUCACAAAUAAAAUUAGCACACUAGUAAAUGACAGUGAAUUCGAGAUUACCAAAUACAUUAUUAUAUAUGAGAGAUUAUCGUAAAUAAAUGAUAAUAAAUUCGAGAUUAUCUAUAUGAGAAAUCUUGAUUCAUAACAAGGACUCUUAAACCACAAAUUUUUAAUAUCUUUGAUUUAUGAAGCAAUUGAAAGGGUCAAAGAGAGCAGGAGAGAACCACAAAACCCUUACUAUUAGUUAGGAUUUAGCAGAACUUCACAUGUCUGUAUAUUAUAUUUUAAAAUUAUUUUUGAAAAUAAAAAAACAUAAAAAAAAACAUGUAUUUAGAUUUAGAUCCUAAAAAUUUAUUUAAAAUUUAGAGUUCUGCACCAGGACUUUGCUGGUUCUACGAGGCGGUUCCCUCUUAAACUCGACCUUGAAAUAACAUGUUUUCAAUCUUUUAAAAAAAUCUAUAUUUUCACUUAAAUAUUAAAAUUGUAUGCUUUCAUUUUCAUUGAAAUAUUUUAACAUUUAUAAAUAUUAGUAAUAUAAGCAAUCAACAUAAUUAAAUUAAUGAUGUAUCUUAUCAUCUUAUUAAAAUAAAUAUAUUUUAAUAUAUAUAUAAUAUAAAAUUAUGAAUUAUUAACAUAAAUAAUUAUAUAAACACUAAUAACAAUAAUACCUCUUAAUGUGAAAAAUAAUUUGACAAAAAAUUUAAUAAAAUAUUUAUUAUAUAUGUUAGAUUAUUUUUAAUACACAAAUGCCGUCAGUUAGUCGGUCUAAAUAUGCAGCAGAAAUGUCAAAACUCUGAGGACACUAGUGACGUAAUCUUUCAAAAUUGAAAAUUUGAUUUCCUCCUUCCCUUUUCAGUUCUCAUGACCACGCUGAUCGUCUUGACCAGCCUUUAUGUGAAGUUUAAAAUGAUACUGUAUUGUUAAGAAAUACUUGGGUCGAGAUGAUUUAAUUAACAAGUGCGAUUAUUUUAAAAAAAACAUAUAAAGACAUAUAUUGAUUAACAUGGAGAGUAUUUUAUACAUAGUAUUUAUAUAUAAUUGAUCAUUAAAUAUUCAUAUAUACAAAUAAAAUGUGAAAUAUAUGUAUGUAUUUUAUUGUUUAUCAUAUAUAUAUAUAAUUCACAAAAAAGAAAGUUAUUUUUUUCUGAAAGAAAUGUUGUAAAACGUUAAUAUCUAAACUAAUUUUUCAAUAGACUAUAUUCGUUCAAAAUAAUUUUACAACAUAAUCAAAUUUAUUAAAUUUUUUUAUCUAAAUUAUACAUGUCGGAGGGGUAGAGGAAAUGGUAACUUAGCACGGGUAAGUACUCCAUCCACGGUUAGUAGUCACAUUUCUAUUUUUGUCAGUUAAAUUGAUUAAUUUUUAAUCAAAAAUCAUAAGUCACAUUCUAUUAUUUUAAAAACUGAAAGUUAAAUUUUAAAAUAUAUUAAAAAAUUAUUUCUGAAAAUAUUUUUUUAUUUUAUUAACUAAUAAAAUAUUAAUAAAUUUCAGUUAAAUUUAUCGACCGAUAAAAAACUGAGAACUGAAAAGGAACAAAGAAGUAACAAAUUAACAAUAUAAGAGCAUCUCCAAGAGCCUCAUUGUUGGCUCCUAAAUAUAAUAUAAAAAAUGUGGCUCUUAAUAAUUUAGGACAAAGUUAAGAGUGUAAACUCCAACAAUACUCUCUAGAUCUCUUCUCUAUUUCAUAUUUUAUUCAUAUAUUGGGCUCCACUAUAACAAAAGAGAGGGAAAGAUGGAGGUUGAUUGGAGAGAAGGAUUUUUUUAUUGUGAAAAAAUAAGUUAGGAGCCAUGUGGUGGCUCUUAACUUUGAGGAGAGAGGAGAGAGAAACAAGAGGCUCUUAAGAUUUAAGAGCCACUUAAGAGUCUCUUGGAGCAACAUUUUGGUUCUCCCUCCUCAAAUCUCAAGUUAGGAGCCUAAAUGAAGAGCCUCUUGGAGAUGCUCUAACAGCCCAAACAAGCCCUGACCCAUCCAGAUAAAAUCCUAAAAUCAGGUGGCCUCCCACCGUUAUAUUUAUAUAUACGCACAUAGGAUAGACUGUGUGUAUUUAUAUACCCACGACUCCCUUUCUUUCUCCUCAAGAUGUUGGCGUGGAAUCAUUGAAUAUCAUAUAUUUCUCAAUCAAAGUUUUAAUCUCUACUAUAAAUUUACAACCCCUUUUUGCUAAUUCAUUAUCUUCUGAUCUCACGGAUCGAUAAGUUAUGAUCUUCUCAAGAAUUGGGCGUUCUUUAUCACGCUCCCCGCGUUCCACAGUAACCUCUCUCUCCCUCUGUCUCUAUGUCAUUUGUGUUUGUAUGUGAAGUGAUUGUGUAAAUUAGGGUUUAAUUUUGUUUUGUUGUAGAAGAGUUUGUUGACUAAUGGGAGAGCAGCUCUUGUGGGUGAAUCAAUUUUACAAGGUCCUGGUAGUGUUGAUGGGAAAUUAGGGCUUGUGAGGAAGUAUUUAGCUGCUAAUGGAAACCUGGCUGUUUCCAAAGCUUAUUUGUCUGAUUUCAGAUAUCUUCUUGCAAACCCUAGAUUGCAUAGAUAUUUCUCCACUGAAGAGGGGCCUAAAAAGAAGAGUAAGGGUGUUCUUUUGGUUUGAGUUUGUUGGGUUGGUUUUGUUCGCGUUUUGAUAUGAUUGUUUUUGCAGAUUAUGAGAACUUCUAUCCCAAAGACAAGAAGGAGAUUCCGAAAGGGGAUGAACAGAAGUCACAGUCGAAAGGUUGGGUUUUUAUUAAUUCAUUUCGAAGCAUUAUUGUUGGUCUUAUUUGAUUUAUAUUGAGGGGUUAUGACUUAUGAGUCAUAGAAAUUUACUUUCGUUGUGCAUUUAAUGAAAAGUAGGGAACAAUAGCUUGUUUAGUUUUAGUGAGCAAAACAAUUUGUCAGCUGAUGAUUUAUAUUGUUAGGUCUUUGUGGUCUACAAGAACCAGAACUGAACUUAGUCAAGUAUAUUGAAGGAUAUUGAAUUUUAUGUAGCUGAAAAUUUGUGUCAUUGAGGAGUGCAGAUUCAUAGGAGCCCUAAACUUCAGUUAAAUAUUUAUGUCAUUCAUUCAUCUGGUAGCAGUUUGGAUCUUUUUAGGAUUUCAUCUUUCUCUAUUGCAGUGUAAAUGUAGCUGUGAUAGUAGAAUGACAUUUUCUUUUCUGUAAUACUGAAUUUUGUGUUCACCGAAAGUCAAGUGAAAAAGCUUUUGCAAUGUAAGAAGGUUGCUAUAGGAGUAUAGGACCAUGUCUUGAUGUCCUUAUGCGCAAACAUUUAAUGAGAAAAUUUUUUUAUAAUGGUGUUGGAGAUGAGCGUUGAAUUGAGUUUAUUGAUGUUUUGGGUUAAACAGUUCCUAGGUACUUGCAUCUCACAAUAUUUUUGCUUUUAACAGAGGAUUCAAACACAGAUGAUGGUGGUGACUUUCAGUCAGCUUUUAUGAAGCAAAUCCAGAAUCUAAUUAUCCCCUUGUUGGUGAUUGGAAUGUUUUUCUCAUCAUUUCCUUUUGGUGGCCGUGAAGAGAAACAGGUAUGGGUUUAUGGUCUUUGUUGACUUAUGUGUAUGACUUAAGAAAAUUUCUAGAUAAAUAAUACACACACACACACACACACACACACACAGGUUACGUAAUUUGAUUCAAGUUGAGAAAGAUGUGUCAAACACCACAAUGAAAAAAGUUAUUAGCCUUCCCAAGUCUUGAUUGUGUCCUAUUUAAUUUUCGUACUGCUUAAGUGAAGCGGCAAGGACAAGUGUGUUUCAUUGCCAUUUUUGAUAAUGGCAUUACAAGUGAAUUUUCUUAACAUCCAUGUGUUCAUUUUUUGGUGAACAAGGUUGACAUUUUUAAUUAUUAGGGCUGUUGGUGAUUUUGAUCCUUGUAUUCUGCGAUAUACUCUUUGUGCGAGUCAUUAUUUUUAUCUCAUUGGUCUUAUUGUGUGUCAAAUUGCAGAUUAGUUUCCAAGAGUUCAAAAAUAAGCUUCUGGAACCAGGUUUAGUGGAUCAUAUAGUGGUUACUAAUAAAACAGUUGCUAAAGUGUAUGUAAGAAGCACACCCUUAAAUCGGUCCAGAGGUGAUGGACCGGUUGCUCAAGGUCCUGAUACUGAUAAUGACACAAGAGGUAAGAAAGGCCAGUAUAAGUAUUAUUUCAAUAUUGGAAGCAUAGAAUCAUUUGAAGAGAAAUUAGAGGAAGCCCAGGAAGCCUUAGGUAUUGACCCCCAUGAUCAUGUUCCCGUUACCUACAAUUCUGAAAUUGGGUGGUAUCAAGAAGUGAUGAGGUUUGCGCCAACACUUUUGUUAUUGGGAACUCUUAUGUACAUGGGACGGAAAAUGCAGGGUGGAUUAGGUGUUGGAGGUGGUGGUGGAAAAGGUGCUCGUGGGAUAUUUAACAUAGGGAAAGCUCACAUUACCAAGGUGGACAAAAAUGCAAAAAACAAGGUUAGUAAACUGCUCAGUGUAUUGAUGUCCAUGGCCAGUAGUUGAGCCAUACAUGUCUUACCUCUUUCACAUUAUACCUUGUUUUGGACAAUAGCCGUCAGCAGAUGGUCCAUUUUGAAUAUCUCAGUAUUGUAGCUUAAUAUUAUUGUUAUAUUAGAUCAAGUAACUGGCUUUUCUGCAGGUUUAUUUUAAAGAUGUUGCUGGCUGUGAUGAAGCAAAGCAAGAAAUCAUGGAGUUUGUACACUUUCUCAAGAACCCUAAGAAAUAUGAGGAACUAGGUGCAAAAAUUCCAAAAGGUGCUUUAUUGGUUGGACCUCCUGGAACAGGUAAAACUCUUUUAGCCAAGGCAACUGCUGGAGAAUCCGCUGUGCCUUUCCUGUCUAUAUCUGGUUCAGAUUUUAUGGAAAUGUUUGUCGGGGUUGGACCAUCUAGGGUGAGAAACUUGUUUCAAGAAGCAAGACAAUGUGCACCUAGUAUUAUAUUUAUUGAUGAGAUCGAUGCUAUUGGUCGAGCAAGAGGACGGGGGGGUUUCUCAGGUUCUAAUGAUGAGCGUGAAAGCACACUCAAUCAGUUGCUUGUAGAAAUGGAUGGAUUUGGUACCACUUCUGGAGUAGUUGUCCUUGCUGGUACUAAUAGGCCUGAUAUAUUAGACAAAGCCCUUUUAAGGCCUGGCAGAUUUGAUAGGCAGAUCUCUAUAGAUAAGCCUGAUAUUAAAGGGAGGGACCAGAUAUUCCAGAUUUAUUUGAAGAAGUUAAAACUUGAUAAUGAGCCAUCGUACUUCUCCCAGAGACUUGCGGCCCUUACUCCUGGAUUUGCUGGAGCAGAUAUUGCAAAUGUUGUUAAUGAAGCUGCUUUAAUUGCUGCGAGGAGUGACCAAACAACAGUGACAAUGGAGCAUUUUGAGGGGGCUAUUGAUAGAGUAAUUGGUGGCUUGGAAAAGAAGAACAAGGUUAGUUGUAACCAGAUGAUUUCAUAUAUGUGUUGUGCUAGUUAAAUAUAUUUAUUCAUUAGUCAAUGUCCAGUAAAAGUUCACCUGUCAAAACCUAACAUGUUAACAUUAAGUUUCUUUGAUCUGUAGAAAUAUAAAGAAAAAAUAUCCUUGUGGAUCUGCCAUAUAUUAAUUUAUGGUUAUUUAUCAUAUAUGGCCAAUAUUAGGAUCAAGGUAGCCCCAUGAAAAUAUAGAGAACUUCAAUUUUGCUGCUCUGUACCUCUGUUGUUUGUCAAUUACGAAUAGAUUGAACUAUUACAGGGCUGUAACUUAUAACCAUAGUUAGCUGGAAAUUUUCUUCAUUCAUAUAUAUAGUAUUAAAAUUAAGUGAUUAAAUGUGAAGCACAGUCCUUCCACGUAUAUGGUGUUAUAAAUGAGACAUAUUUUUCGAUACUUUAGUUAAGUGUGUAUGUUUGUCUUGGUGAUUUGCUUAUAUGUUGUAUAUCCGUAAACAGGUUAUAAGCAAACUUGAGCGUCGGACUGUAGCUUAUCAUGAAGCAGGUCAUGCCAUUGUAGGAUGGUUUUUGGAACACACAGAACCUUUGCUAAAAGUUACUAUCGUUCCUCGCGGUACAGCUGCACUUGGUUUUGCACAAUAUGUACCAAAUGAAAACCUUCUCAUGACCAAGGAGCAGCUUUUUGAUAUGACAUGCAUGACACUUGGUGGUCGUGCAUCUGAGCAGGUUAGUUGAUGCAUGUUUUUACUAUUUGAGUUGCAUUGCCAAUAAUUUUUUGUUAAAUCACGGGAAAGUCACUGUUAAUACAUUUUUGACUUAAGGAUAUAACAAAAAGUUCUAUGAAAAUAGAAAGAACCUUCCUGCCACAGUUUUUCAAAUUUUUUCUGUAGCUAUAGAAGAUUUUCUUUGGUUUCAGGUUAUGUUGGGUAAAAUCUCGACUGGAGCACAAAAUGACUUGGAGAAAGUGACAAAAAUGACAUAUGCACAAGUAGCAGUCUAUGGCUUUAGUGAGAAGGUGGGUCUCCUUUCUUUCCCUCAGAGAGAGGAUGGUGGCUUUGAGAUGACUAAGCCCUACAGCAACAAGACAGGAGAUAUUAUUGACACUGAAGUGCGAGAAUGGGUGGCCAAGGCUUAUGAAAAGACAAUUGAACUUGUAGAGAAACAUAAAGAGCAUGUCGCUCAAAUUGCAGAGCUUUUGCUUGAAAAGGAAGUACUCCACCAGGAAGACUUGCUCCGGGUUUUAGGUGAACGGCCUUACAAACCUGCUGAGAUGACGAACUAUGAUAAAUUUAAGCAAGGGUUUAUGGAGGAGGAUGACAAGAGCAAACCUGCCACAGAGAGUGUGAGUGAAGAAGAUGAUGACUCAGCACCUCUUGUACCAGAUGUGGUUCCAACUUAAUAUUUGAUCGGACAGGAAGGAGGCUUCCUUUAGUGAUUGUACAUGCAUUUUAAUGAAAAUUUUCUUCCUAAUUUUUACAUUAUUCGCUUUCUUCUACAUUGUCAAGCGAGAAUAUGAUUAUAGAGCUGGACAGACUUUAUUUUGGAGAUGCUUCAUACCUCUGCAGCCGCCCAGCUUGUUAGCAUAGCCUUUAAUUUCUACCAAGUCAGUCUUGUUGUAAUUUCAUUUACACUUUCAUUAAUAAAUUAGUUACUUUGUGUGGACGUGUUUGUUGGUUUUUAUGCAGUGCUACAUUUCUGAUAUCCAGCUCGCUGAGUACGAUGUAUGAUGCAAAAUUUUAAUUAGUUAACAUAUUAUACGAAACGUACAUAUGAUUAUGUGACGAUUUUUAUUUGAAGUAUAUUAUUUCCUUUGUGUCAACAGUCUUGUUUCGAUUUUAUUCGGUUACACUGACCAAAUAAAUUUGAUUUGGUCAAAAUGACCAAAUUUUAACAUUACAUGUUAUAUAUUUAAAAAUUUUAUAUUAUUAAAAUAUAUAUUUGAUCUAUUUUAAGAUAUAUUUUUCACUUCUUAAAAAUAAUGAAUACUUUUUAUUAAACAAAUAAAAAAAGAAUUAUCUUAACUGAGAGUUGAUUACCACCGACCAAAUGACCCGUAAUUUUGUUUAUGCUUCAGUAAGUAAGAUGAUGUAAAAAAAUUACUGUAUACUUUACUACUAAUUUGAUUCAGAAUCAUGAUAUCAAAUUAACAGCAUCAAAUUUCUGAGUUUGAUUUUACCAAGUCAACAACUCUCAGAAUUAGUAGUAUCAGCAUAAAAAACACUUGAAAGUGAUAAUAAAUUGGUAACCGCCAUUUUUUAAACCCAAAUGUAGAACAGCUUGAACAAAGAUGAGUCCACAGGAAAUUGGAAUUCAUUUGAUAAGUUAUCAUGGAUCAACUGCUGUUUAAACUAAACAAAAAACCAGCAUAAAUCUGGAAACAUAAAAAGCCCUAGUGUGUCUGUACAUUGCUAGGCCCUUGAGUCUUGGCCAGCGAUCGUUCCUGUUUCUCACAAGGUAUAUAUAUAAAUGGAUCCAAACAUGCAAAUCUGUAAAUGAGAUAACUAGGAGAUAUGAUCAUUUCAAUGAAUAUUUCUUCCCAGUAAAUGCUUGGAACUUGGUUUCCUCUUCCUUUUUAGGUUGUUCCUCCUGACUCUGUUCCUUUUGCUUGGUCUCAUUCUGUAGUUUAAACAUUUUCAAUGAUAGCAUUAAUUUUAAUAUACUACUUGUUCAAGGCAAAUUACAGUAAGCAUGAAAAGAUAUAUUUAAAUAAUGUGAUUUGCAUACUUUUGGUUUUGCAUGUGAGGGUUGGUCUCCGUUUGAUCCGAACACAAGCUUCCCGCAAUGUUUCCUUGAUGAAUUUGAUGGUGAAGGAACAUUAUUACUUUUAGCUUCUGGUUGGUGAUGUUUGAGCAAGGAAGAAGAAGCUGCUACAAUUGGUUCGGUGGAAGGUUUCCCAUCCAAGCGUCUUGAUGAACCCGUGAAAGCAUUGAACUUGGGAACUUUGUUGUCCGUCUCUUCCUCAGCUGAAGAGUAUAUCAUUAAACCAGAUGUUACCAACUCAUAGUGCAGUAUAUAAUAAAGGAAGCUCAGUACUCGGACAAAAUCGGGAGAGUAGAAAGAAAGAUAGAGAACCUUGGUCUUCUGGUGGUCUCUUUUUGGAAAUACUAGCCUUAAGUGGUUUUUCAGGUUCUUUAUAAUCCAAUGGAGGUGCAAAAUCCACUUCACAGUCUGUUUCAAUGAUACUAAUUGCAGAAGAAGGUUUUGUCUCUACAAUGUCAAUGUAAAAUUUCUUAUUGUUAUAGGCAACCAUUAUAGUGUCUCCAGUAGUCAAACAAGAGUAGCUCCUUAAUGUUGUCUCCAAGCUUCAAAGAAUAAAAGCAAAAUUAGAGACAAGUUUACACAGACAGGUAUCUAGUCAUAAGGGUGUCAAAAAAAAUGAUCUCACAUUGCUUUUGGGUUGGAUACAUCCAAGAAGUCUUUUGUGUGAGGCUGCAGCUUCACAAAUGUACCCUUUGACAAACUGGCAUUCUUAAUAUUAACAAUAUCUCCUUCCCGUAGAAGCAUAUUCUCCAUCAUCUACAAUCAUAAAGCAAAAGUUUACAAAUCUACAAAUUCAAUAGAAGGGGUUGAUGAAAGAGACUAAAAUAAUAUUUGGAGACAUUGCAAGGAAAACAAUUACCCAGUACGGCAAGUAUAUCAUGCCCUCAUCUGCGAUAAAUUCUAGCACUCCACAGUGAGUAAUCUUUCCAGAAGUAGGGUUACUCACUUCAAAAAGCAUGGGGUAGUCUAUUUGUAGAUAUGCUGGUGAUUGGAAAAAAGAUAUAGAUAUAAAUAGGAGUGGGCGCUGAGUAAACCCUAACCAAAUUGAAAACCUAUACUUCCUCCAUUGCUGAGUAAUCCCUUACACAAAUCAAAAACCUAAACAUACUGCCUCCAUUGCUAUUUAAUUGUCCCUUUGACCCUCUAAGCGUACUUCACGGUAUAGAAAAAAGACAUGUCUUGCACAGAUAUCUUUUAUCUAAUUUUUAGUUAUAAUACAGUUGUAAUUUAUAUCUUCCUCAAAAAACAGUGAGGAAAAAAAAAGGGUGUGGACACCCUUUUAAGAACCUUUAAGUGAGGUAUGCUACUAAAAACAGAGGGGGGAGUAAAAGGUAAAGGAGGGAGUAUAUCCAUUAGCACGAAAAGGACCAACAAAAAAGGAUAUACAUAAAAGAAUAAAGCAGAAACCACUUACCUAGACGAUCAAGAGCUGAGGGAGGCAUUAUAACUGAGAGCCAAAACAAAACAUGCGAGUUAGGAAUACUGAUAUUUAUCUUGCUGAACAAAAAAGUAGACCAACAAAGGAUUUUUAGGAAUGAGAGCAAUUGACAAGGUUGACCGACCUUUAUCUCCCUUCUCUAGAUGUGCCUAGAAAAUAAGAACAAAAUUUUAUAAGCUGAUCCAUGAAGCUUAAUGAUCUUAAAAAAACUGUAAUUACUUUAGCAGAUACGAAUUGAAUAUCGAGCCUUUUACAUAUUAUGUGAUUUUAAACUAAAAGGAUGGAAAGACAAAGAAAUGGUAAUCAAAAGAAUAUAAACUCAUACGAUUUAUCAAGAUCAUUGUACAAGGCCAAAGAUCAUUGUACAAGUACAAAUGCCCAUUAAAAGAACACAUACACCUAAUAUCACAAGGACAGUAGAAGCUUUGAAAUCCAAUAAUUCAAUUCGCCACAAUCAACAAAACUUUUCGUAUAUAUUUGAUCACACGAUAUAAAAACCAAGUAUUUACCAACAAAAAAGAGUCCAAACUAAGAAAUCUAACCUUUUCAAUGAAAGCCACAGGAUAGCAACGGUAGUUCUGUUCAAAUGCUGAUGUGACACUCUGCAACCAAUUUAACAAACAGAAUCAUUAUAUUAUUCGUACUAGCAUUGCAGUUUCAGAAAAAAGAUAACAAUGAUAUCACGAUCUUCCAGUGGUUAAAUGGUAGUAGUAACAAAAGUAUAUCAUCCCAGAUCAAUCAACACUGAAUGUGGUUACGCAUCUGACCACUAGCUUCACAUUUGGUGAUCAUACUGAUACUGCCAGACGCCAAUUCACAAAGCCUCCUACAAACCUCUCACGAAAAAUGUGCAUCUAAAGUUUCAACCAUCGAUGGGUUAAAACAUAAAUAGGCUUUCUCAAGGACCGAGUAUUCAACGAAAUACAGAUCUCCUUGACCACUAAAACACAAAUACUCACUUGCAGCAUAAAAAAUUCACAAACAAUACACUAAAACAAAAGAACCCAGAUCAUAAAAGCCCACAUAACUCAAUUCUUCUAAACAACAUUCAAUCAGGAUACAAAAACACAAACAAUGUAACUCAAAACGGUUGCAUCCAUACCAUGAUUGCCGAUUCUGAUAAAAACCCACCCUCAAGAAGACAACAACAAUCUGUAAAAAAAACCCACAAAAUUAAACAACAAAGAAACAAAUAUUAGUACACUAGUAGCAUAUAAACAAUACCCAAAUCACAGUUUCACAUAAAUCUCAUCCUCCAAUUAAAUAUAUGAAUAACAGUCCACUAGUAUAAAGUUCAUACAGAAAAGUAAGCAAAGACAAAUAAAUCAUGGGCAUAAAAUAAUAAAUCUGGGUUACAAAUAGAAUGGGGGUGUAUGAGUAUGUGAAUAUCAGAUACAGAUGCGUGUGUGUAUUGGGGAUGGAUGAUUAAUGGGUUUGAUGUGAGAACCUUUUUGAGGGCUGAAGAUAUUAGCAGAGUUUGGAAGCGGAGAAGAGGCUUAUAAUUAUCAUGUCACGACUAUUAUAUAAGCAAUAUGCUUUGAUGCGUGUGUAUGCAGAGGCGUGAGGAGAAGGGGUACAAUUUGGGUUUUAAUAUUUCGCGUAAUAUCAAGGGGUUUUUUUAUUAAUAAUCACGUUUUCAAUCCUAUUUCCAAAAAUACUACCUUAUCCAAUCUUAUUUUCAAAAAUACUACCUUCUCUAAAAUAUUUUCAAAAAUACUGUGGUUGCAUAUGCAACCAUAUAUGCAACUGAAUUCCUGAUUUCAAGUUCCAGUUUUCAAAUGUCAUUUUCGACCUCAUAUUUGGAAUCGAUAUAUANNNNNNNNNNNNNNNNNNNNNNNNNNNNNNNNNNNNNNNNNNNNNNNNNNNNNNNNNNNNNNNNNNNNNNNNNNNNNNNNNNNNNNNNNNNNNNNNNNNNNNNNNAUAUAUAUAUAUAUAAUUGCAUAUAUGGUUGCAUAUGGUUGUAUUCAGUUGCAUAUGGUUGUGUUCAGUUGAUUCUAUUGUAAUCUAAUGGCCCCGCCAGGGGCACCCAUACAUCAGUUGCAACUUACAGUUUUCCGUUGCAUAUGAGGUUGCACGCAACCUCAUAUGCAACCUCAUAUGCAAUUAAAUGCAACUGAAAACUAUAAGUUCCAACUGAAGUAUGGGUGCCCCUGGCGGGGCCAUUAGAUUGCAAUAGAAUCAACUGAAUGCAACCUCAUAUGCAACUAAAUGCAACCUCAUAUGCAACUAAAUGCAACUGAAAACUGUAAGUUCCAACUGAAGUAUGGGUGCCCCUGGCGGGGCCAUUAGAUUGCAAUAGAAUCAACUGAAUGCAACCUCAUAUGCAACUAAAUGCAACCUCAUAUGCAACUAAAUGCAACUGAAAACUGUAAGUUCCAACUGAAGUAUGGGUGCCCCUGGCGGGGCCAUUAGAUUGCAAUAGAAUCAACUGAAUGCAACCAUAUGCAACUGAAUACAACCAUAUGCAACCAUAUAUGCAACUACAAAUCCUGAUUUCCAGUUGCAGUUUUCAAAUGUCAUUUUCGACCUCAUAUUUGGAGUCGAUAUAUAUAUAUAUAUCCACCGCAACUAAAUGCAACUGAAAACUGUAAGUUGCAACCACCGUAUUUUUGGAAAAUAUUUUCAAAAAGGUAGUAUUUUUGAAAAUAUUUUAGAGAUUUGAAAAUAAGAUUGGAUAAGGUAGUAUUUUUGAAAAUAAGAUUGAAAAAACAAUAUACAAGAUAAUUCCCCUAAUAUCAACCAUGUUCCUAAUAAUUUUAAAUCUGAAACUUUUAUAUGAAUUUUAGAUAUAUCAAUUCAAUUCGAAAUUCUUCAAAUCCGAUUUGACAGAUGUUAUNNNNNNNNNNNNNNNNNNNNNNNNNNNNNNNNNNNNNNNNNNNNNNNNNNNNNNNNNNNNNNNNNNNNNNNNNNNNNNNNNNNNNNNNNNNNNNNNNNNNNNNNNNNNNNNNNNNNNNNNNNNNNNNNNNNAGUUCUAAUUCUAGUACAGGUUCUGAUUUGAACCUCACACCUUUAAAAUAAGAACAAAGAAGAACACUUUGGAAUCGAACAUAGAAUCUCAUCUAAAACUUGAAUUAAAUUCUAAUUUUAAGCUAAUUAACCAUUUAUUAUGAAUAAUAAUAGUAUCUAGCAUGUUUAACAACAAUUAUGGAUUAAAAAUAACAUGAUUCUAUGUGAUAUUAAUCAUGUAAAGAAUAUAUACAUGAUUCGAUUCUGGAUUCCGUUUUGGAUUCUGUUCUGGAUUCUAUAAUAUUUUAUAUUAAUAAUUUGGAUAGAUUUGGAUGUUAGAUUUUAUAUAUUAAGUUUAGUUAGUGCUUAACUAUGUAACUAUAAUCAUAACAAAUCAUUUUUUAUGAAAGAAAAAGUGUUAUGAUAGUAUUCUGUGUUGUUCUUUUUUUAAAGUGUUCUGUGUGGAGUGCAACCCUAUAUAUAUAUAUAUUUUUUCACAAAGAAUGAUUUGUUAAGAUUAUAAUUAUAUAGUUAAACACCAUUUAAACUUAAUAUAUGAAAUAUAACAUCCAAAUCCAUCCACAUUAUUACUAUGAAAUAUUAUAGAAUCCAGAACAGAAUCCAAGAUAGAAUCCAGAAUGGAAUCAUAUAUAUAUUUUUUGCACGAAUAAUUUUACAUAGAAUCAUGUUAUUUUUAACCCAAAUUUAUUGUUAAACAUGACAGAUUCUAUUAUUAUUCAUAAUAACAAGUUAAUCAACUUCAAAUUUGAAAGUAAUUUAAGCUUUAGAUGAGAUUCUAUAUUUGAUUCUAAAGUGUUCUGUGUUGUUCUUCUUUUAAGAGUGUUCUUUUUUGAGCAAUGCCCUAUAUAUAUAUAUAUAUCGAUUCCGAAAAUGAGGUCGAAAAUGACAUUUGAAAACUGGAACUUGAAAUCAGGAAUUCAGCUGCAUAUGAAGUUGCAAAAGAGGUUGCAACACGGCUGGCGCCGCCUGUAGUUGCAAAUGAGGUUGCAAAAGUUGCAAACAGUAUUUUUGAAAAAAAAAUUAUGAAAAGGUAUUUUUAAAAAUAAUUCUGGAAGGUAGUAUUUUUGAAAACAAUAAAAGAAAAGGUAGGUAGUUUUGUAGAUUUCCCAUUAUUAUUCAGGACGACCAGAGCGCAAUUAUAUCAUAACUUCAUUUUCCACUUAUAUAAUAAUAAUAAUAAUAAUAAUAAUAAUAAUAAUAAUAACAACAACAACUAACAAUAAUAAUAAUAAUAAUAAUAAUAAUAAUAAUAAUAAUAAUAAUAAUAAUAAUAAUAAUAAUAAUAAUAAUAAUAAUAUAGUAUAGUCUAGUAUAAANNNAUAUAUAUAUAUAUAUAUAAAGUUUAUCAGGAUACUGAUUAUUAUACAUAGAAAAUAUAUUUGUAUAUCUAUUGUUUAUAAUUCAUAUUUUAAUAUUUUAACUUUAAUAUUUUAAUUUAAAAUAUGGCAUAUUAAAUACUAAUUUUAUAUAUUAUAAUAUUUAAUAAGUUUAACAAUUGAAAUUCGAACAUCAUUUAAUAAGAUAAUAUUAAUUAAUAUCAAUUUCAGCGAUAAACAUAAACAUUUAACAAUCGCAACACGACAAUAAGUGAGGAGUGAUAGUCAUAUAAUCUGAUUUUACCAAAUGUGUCUAAUUUUUUCUUAAAUGUUAAUAUAUAGUAAUUAAUUGAUGUAUUUUGGAUAAUACUGAUAUAGUAUUAUAAUCUCACAUGGAUUACUAUAUAAAUUGAUUGAAUAUUAUAAAUUUAAAUUUUCAAGGUUAUGUCCUAAGAAAACCGAAUGUGAUAAGAAAUUCUCUGGCUGGUCCAGAUUUUUAUUUUUGAAAUUUUUUUGUUCGGUCAUAAUAUUUGGAUUUGGAUUUUGUCAUGUUCAAUCUGACCUUACUCUCCAUCAAUAAAUUUUAUUAAUCUAUGAGGGCUACUACUUCAAUAUUUAUUAUAUUAAAUUUGAAUAUAUUUAUAUACUACUAUAUCAUAAAUUGAAUAAUUUUUAGAAUAAUUAAGAUAAAAUUUUAAAACAAAAACAUAAAUUUUAAGAAUCUAAAAUACAAAUUAAAAUUAAAAUUAGUUACAAAUAUAGUGGAACCUGUGAAAAAUAUAUUCAUAUUACUAAAAGUAUUAUUUGAAAGAUGUUUUAUUAUAAUGUCUAUACAUUGAAUCUCAUACCUCCAAUUAUUUCAAAUCUGGGGACAAAUCAAUAUUAUCAAAACAUGUAACGAUAAAUUUUAAUUCUUGUUGAGAAGUUUGAUCAUAGAAAGAGGAUUAUAGAAAGUAAAUUGAAUAGGUCUUGGCUUUUGAUGAUCAAUUGUGUAUCAUUUUUAGCGUUAAUAUGCUAGCGACAACCUUUUGUAACGAGAGAAAGACCGUGAUAAAUUGCAGUAGAUAUUAGAUGGCGAGGAUCAUCUCUUAACUCUAAAAAAAACACCUUGUGUGAAAUUUAUUUAUUUAUUUGUUUAUUUUACGUGAAAACCGAUAGCCGUUAUCAUUCGGCUGUGCUGGGUAAACCACGAGCUCCCGUAGUAGCCUAUAAACUACGUGAAUCAGAUAAACCGCAAUUUAGAAACAGGUUCUGAUGCAGCAGGUAGAAUCACAAAUUUUGCUUCUUUUAGGAGUCGAACGUCCCCUCUUUUAACCGGCCAUCACUUUGUGUGAAAUUUACUCCCUCUUCUUUGAAAUAUAGAUUUUUUUAACUUUUUAAGUACUUUUAAAUCUUUAAGCUCAUAGAUAAAAUCAUUAUUUUUAAAUGAAAUUAUAUGACUAAUAUUACAAUUCAGAUUUUUUUUAAAACAAUGAUUCUAACUAUACAGUCAAAAGACUUAGAAAUAUGUGCCAAAAUAUCAAAUGACCUAUAUUUUAAAACGGAGAGAAUAUAUCUUUUACUACUUGUGAUGCUAAACAAUUGGAAUUUAUAUAUCCAUGUUUUAACUUUUACAUUUUACACUAUCCUGUGAGGGUCUUAUAAUGUUCAUAAGAGAAUAUAUCGAAAAAUUUUCCUUUCAAAUAAAUUUUAAAUUAAAUAAUAUGUUCAAAAUUUUUACCAUGACAUGAUCAUAUUAGUUUAAUAAAAUAAAAUAAGAAUCAAAUAUCAUAUUUUUAUUAUAAUAUUAAAAAUUUAAAACUACACACUUCAUAGGGUUGUAAAAAGCGGGACUCGCACGAAUACAUGUUCAAAAAUUAAUUAAAUAAUUGAAAAUUAAUUAUUUGUCCGAGGACUAAAAUGAUAACCGAGGAUUAAUCGAAAUGAGCAGUCAUGCAAAUUAUCGGAAUCAACUUAAUAUUGUUUAAAAUUAUUUAUCAUCAUUUUAUAUACAUUAUAAAUUAAGAUACUUAUAAAAUUAUUAUAUGCAUAACGAAAUUCAUUAACAAUAUAUCAUAACAAAUUUCACUAAUAAUAUAUUGUCUAUUUUUAAGCUAUGCGGCAACUAUAAUCAACACCUCUACAUUAUAUACAUAACACAUAAAUUAUAUAUAUUAUCUAUAGUUAAAUUAUACUCAUACAAGAUUGAUAAUCCAUAUUUCAGUUUUAAACACUCUAUUUUUAGUAUUUUUUCAUUUUUCAAACUUCUAUUAUUUUAUUUUACUUUUUUAAGAUUAACCGGUUUUCAAUUACACGGGUUUUUGAGUGAUCUUUUAUCCAUUAAUCCAGGUUAAUAGUCUGAACUUUGACAGGAAACGAAUAAAUGACAGUUGAACUAUUAUGUUUGUUUUAAACAGAUUUUUUUAUUGUGUGUUCAUGAGCACACACUAACAAUUUUUAUGGAAGUUAAAGGUUUUUAUUGACCAAAAAAUCAUUAAUAAUCAUGAUCCAUGCAUAUGCACAAAAAUCAUUACAAAGUAAAACCCUCGGUCUCAAUAAAAAUAGUUGUCAGUGUACCCGAAUAAUGUCAAAUAUCGUAAAGAAAUAAGCGGAACACAUACACAGCACAGCGGCAUAGAGAAGUUUCCAAGUACAUGGACUCAGUGCUCACAGGAAGCAGUUAACUUGUACACAUUCCACGAUGAAAAAGUGUGGUCGAUCAGAAUAAAGCAACACUCCAUUGAAAAGGGCUGCCGAUCAACAUCCGGGUUGUAAAUACUUUCUUAAAAAUCUCUGGUAAGAGAAUUUCUCUCUUUUCCUUCUUCACUUGUUAGUUGUUUCUUACAUGCAUACAAUUGUGCAUAUUAUUUAAGUCGUAUAAGACAUGACAUAGGAGUUGUUUAUAUAUAGUUCAUAAUGAACUGGGGUUUGGGUAUAUUUUGUCCCCCAUUUUAUCACGUCAAAGAUUCGGUCAUACCUGUGACCUAAUUCCGUUUAGUAUCCAGAUCUAUAGUAUUUGGAAGAUCUACAAGAUUUGGCUAAAUAAAAAUGUUUAAAUUUAAUUUUGAGAAAUGAGACAUAUAGCUAUUUUUAAUUGGGUGAUUGAUGUUCAUACAGGAGGUCCCAUGAUUACUAGUGUGAGGGGAACCGAUCGUAUAUUGCCACUUGGAUUUGAGAAAAAAAAAACAGGAACAUUUUUUGGGUACCUAAAAAUUUUCUUUAAGGUAAUGUCUUUUUAACUUUUUGAAAUUUUUUAUAAGCUGUCAAAUAUUUUGUGAUGAUAUCAUUAUAUAUGAGAUAUGGGUCGGGGGUUGAUGUAACAUAUUACCAAUGAUUUUUUCAUCUGUAAUAUAUGAUUUGCAAAAAGAAUUAGAAUUUUUUUAAAGUACAAAAAAAUGACGAUUUUCAUAUUUUUUCAAGAGACUAUAAUAUUUAACUUGUUUUUUUUGGGGCCCUUCUAAAAUUUUAAGGCCUCAAGCAGUUGUUUAACUGGCUUAGUGGUAGGAUCGACCUGGGUCCAUAGGCUGUUGCCAGUGUUGAUACUUGAUGGACUGGUUAGUGUUUGCUGCUAAGAGGACAAUCUAUGGGACACGAGCUCUUAACCAAAGCCCAUAGCCAACCCCCUACCUGAUAUAGGCAAGCCAGAGAACAACCCUAAGCUUCUCCACAGAUUUAGUGCUAUGUGUACUAUAUUCUCUCCAUUAUAAUUAUAGUUUAAGUGCCCUGUUCUCUUUUCAGCUACAAUUUGGAAGGCCAAAUUAGGUUUCACUUUGGUAUUGUUAAACUGUUAUACGACAAAUAUUGUUGGCUAAGUAACAUAUGUUGGAAUAAUAAACAUUUGAAUCAAAGGGCCUGUUUGUAUAUUUUGCUUCAUAUGUUAUUAUUACUUUUUUAUUGAUUAUCUAAUUUGUUAAAUGAAGUUUGUAAUUCAUUUUUUUUUAAAAAGUUAUUAGAAGUAGUUGUAUUGUGUGUGUUAGUGGUUAUACCGCAUAGGUAGUAGUAAUAUAGAGGGUAAUAGUACUUAGGUCUAUACAAAGUUGUAUAUUUUAUUUUUGAUAUAUUUCUCUGAAUUUAUUUUUUUGCUUUAUCUGUCUGAUCCACUUAUAUCGACAAGAGUAUGCUGCAUUUUGGUAUUUUGCUCCAGAUAUUAAUAAAGUAGAUGAUUAUUAUUGCCAUCUCUCCAACCAUAUGUAGUCUGACUACAUUAGCUUAAGUAGUAACUGUUCAUGAAUUAGAUUGCGCUAUAUCUAGUGUUGAGAGUUCAAUUUUUUUUUUUGUUACUGAAAUGAGGUUGCUUUUCUUUAUCAUCCUUGUAUAUUUGCACAUUCUAUAAAUUAUAUGCCACAGCAAAAGCUAUCUAACUAAUGUUGUUCUAGUAUAGUAUGCGUCUAACUUGUGCAACUAACAAUUAGAGCAUUAGUCCGGCUCAGUGUUUUAAAGGCAAAAAGCGCAAAGCGAAGCGUGGGUUUUUGGAAACAAAGCGCACUAUAUUAAUUGAUAAAAUUUUUUAUAAUUAAGAUAAUCGAACAUGCUAAUUAUUAUUUAUCAACUCAAAAGAAAUAAGUAGGCCCAUGUGUCAUGGUACUAAAAUAUAUUUAGAAGUGGAUAGUAUGCAUUGGCCACUCCUGAAUGCAAAUGUGUGCAUUGAAGAUUUUUAGCUCUUUGGGAAGUCUUGUACUGGUGCUUUGUUCAGGAAUUGUGGAGUAUAACUGAGGCAGCUGGGUUUUUUGGAGUGUAUGUGAGACUAAAAGCGGAGUAAGUAUAAUGUACUGGGCUUUUAAACAAGCCCUAUAAAUUAAAAUAUUGACCUAACUUUUGAAAUUAUGUCCAGUUCUAAUAAAAACAACUAUUUAGGCAUUUACACAGAAGUGCGCUUUUUGUACCUUUUUUUGUGCUUUGGGCUUCAGCAAUAAGCGCACGCAAACAUACAAAUACUCAGAUUGAGUCAGUUCGUAUAUUGUUACGAGUCUACUACCAAUCUAACUGGGGAUUUAUGUUAAUGUUACUAUGUUUGCCUGUUUUGUCAGUCCAAGUCUUGAUGGGCUUUGCUGCACUUCAUUCUAACAGUCCUCUACCUUUUUAGAUGUUAAAACUGACACAAGUGAAUUGGAGAAAACAAUAGAGGGUGGACUGGGUAAAGGAACUUGAAGUAUAUUUCAUGAUAUUAAGAAGAACUUAAAAUUUUGAAAGAGAAGCCAAAUGUGAGGACUGGAGCCAUGAGGAGGAUUGUUUUUAGGUUGGUUUCCUAGCCUCAGAUUGGUCUUGUAGUUGUCAGCAUCUACAUACCCCUUUUCUUUAGUCUCAAUAUAUGCGGCACCACCUACCAGUGUAGCUCUCUGAGGGUCUCUAAAAAGAUUGGUAUAAAUAAUAUUAAUAUGAUUUAAAUAACUUUUUAUAGGCUUUGAUUCCCAACCUUAUAUUUAAGGGGAUCUGUGAUUCUGCUCCAUAAGGGCCUUGUAGGAAUUCAUGAAGGCAAAACAAAACACAGAGAAGUACUCUAGUUUUUAACUAAACUAACACUCCCCGAUUAGUACACCUCGGACUAGCUGUGUCAUCUUAAAGAGGAAAUAUAACACAGUAAAGUGAAAUGACCUUGUUACUUUUUUGCACUGUAGUUUCUGACAUGUAUUGCUUAAGACCUAUCGACGUAUGACAAAGAAACAUGUUUAUCUGAAAUUUUAUGUUCUUAAAUAAUUAUAGGAUGUAAAUGUUUUGAUUAUAGUUAGAAAUUUAGAUUGCACACCGUAAGUGAACAAAUAAAGGUAAUUUGCUUGAAUGGACGCACACAAAAGUUUAAAUCAGUGUAUGGUGUUCGAUGAUAUAGAUGACACACUGAUAGAGAAUUUAUGUAACUACCAAUUUAAUCAUGUAGACGACCCUUGAAUAUCGUAACAUCCAAUCCUGUAGAUGACAUGUAUGUUAAGUCAUUUUAUGUACUAACAAUUCAGAAGACAGAACGAAACAUGAUGUAUAUUUAUGUGCAGCCAUAUUCACCUCUCCCCAGGAUAUUAGAUAGUUUAGAAUAAAACAUGAUGUAGUUUAGAUAGUGAAAUUGUUUGGUCCUGUUGCAUGUUUAAUUUUGUCGCAGACCUUAUCUUUUUGAAACCUGAAAACUAUUAUCUUCCUAUAAGAUCAUGACAAGUCCCAUAUCGAAAGAAAAUAAGCAAAUUUUGUGUUUACUAAAAACUUGUAUGAGCUCAUAGAUCACGACCUUACUUGAACAGGAUCUGUUCUAUAGGCUCGUACCUCUGUAUCCUUGAUUUCUAAGGAGGCAGGUCACCAAGUCUGGUGGAUGAACAAUGACUGCUUGACCAGAGCGUGAUUAACAUCUCUUCCUGGUCUGUGCACCAUCAAGGGCCGUAGAGGAUCGUUCUCAGCCUGGUUUCCUGGGCUGGGUUGGUCUUGCAGUUGUCUGACAGACCCUAAUCUUUUUUACCCUUCCAUCUCAUUUUUUGGUCUGGUCUGUCAUGGUUUCCUGGAUAAUCUACCUAAGAGCAACUUAUGCAACUAGCGAGUAUUAAUUUUAGGGGUGGACUCCUCUUUCUUUAGUCUUUAGUCUACCCGACAUAUGAAGCUCAACAAGAACAAAAUUCUACAACCUGCAGAACUACUGAAUAAUCUAACAUUAAGAGCGACUUAUGCAACUACUGAGUAAUAAUUUUAGGGGUCAAAACUCUGAAAUUUCUUCCUGUUACUUCAGUUUAUCAUUAUUUGUUUUAUAUGAUGACCAGAACAUAUCUUCCUAGUACUUCUGUUUAUACCAUAGCAGCAUGGACCUAACCUUUCAUGCCUAGAGAAGAUCCUCAUUCCCUUUCUGUUCAAUUGAUCUUGGUCCCUACUCCAAAAGGUAGAAGAUUAUUAGCUCGCUAAGAACUGCAGGGUUUGUACCCAUUAGAACCAAUAUUAUAAUUGUUUUUGUAUAAUAGGGUGCUUAAAUUCUUUAGCUUAGCUUUUAGAACAUCGGUUUUCUCUUUCAGGGACAUCCAAUUGUAACGAUUCAAGUUUAGCACACCCUGUGCAAGGAUGACAUGCAUGAUUCACUCAAGAUUAACAUGCCCUGCGCAUGGAUGACACUGCACAAAUCCAGAGAUGUUCCAAUUUGUUUUACAAUUAAAAUCCAAAAUGGUCUGGUUCCUUUGGCUAGAAAAAGGAAAUAUACAGAAAACUGUUACAUUAAGCACAUAUGUACAGGCACCACCACCAUAUAAACCACCGGAUGUUUCUGCCCACGACUUUGGGUAAAAAGAGGCCUUAGCUCACAGACACAAUGCUUCAGAACUAAAGGAUGAAUGAGAAUCAGAAGUGCCACAGUAUGCGGUGCAGUACAGUAAGUAUAACUGUAUAACAAACAACAAUUUCUUGCUUGUACUGAUCGGGCUAAUAAUGUGCUUGUUUAAAUAUAUUUUACAGAUUCUGAUAAAAUCUUAUCAUUAGUUGCCUGGAAGCACGAUUUGUUUUUGGUGUUUUAACUGUUUGAAGAGACUUUUUAGUAAUUAAUGCCAUGAGAGUGUAAAAAAAAUUUGGACCAUUUCUCGAUUUGUGCGUGUCAUCCUUGCGCAGGGGCCAUGCUAAUCUUCUCUGUAUCGUUCCAAUUUUAUCGGAUGUCCCCGAAGGGACAAGCAAUGAUCUGCAAGCAUGAAAAUAUAACCACUUCAUUUCCUUGUAGUUUGCCUAUGUGGGAUUCGAGUGUGAGACUUGAAUUGAAUCUUUAAUUAUGGGGGAGUUUGUCUAUGACUUAUUUCGAGAUAAAUUUUCAUAUUUACAUGUUAUUUUUUUAUAGUUAAAUAUUUAGAGGACGUUGAGCCCUAUAUAACCUCGGUGAAGGAUCCAUUAAUAAAUAGGGCACUACAAGCAUAUUUGAUGAUUGCCAAGAACUUUAAUUUGAAUAUAGAAGCCAAAUUUGAUGACCAGAUUGUGAUUAAAUGUUUAUUUUUGGUCUGUAUGUAGUGCCUUUGAGAAUCGUUCUCAGCUUGGAUUCCUGGCUGAGGUUGGUUUUGCAUCUGCACGCCCAAAUAUUUUUAGCAUGCAGCAGUUGCCUACUAAGCUUACCUAUCCAAGGGUCACAGGUAAAUAGGUAUCAAUAAUAUUAGUAUGUGUGAAUAACUUUUCUAGGCUUCACAACCUCAUUUUAAGGGGAUCAGUAAUAUUGAUGUAUAGUCCCUUGUGGGAACUCUUGAUGGGGCACGGGAGUACCAAGAACCAAGGAAAGUUGAGAGGGAUUUGUGAAGUAGUAAUUAACUAGAUUCUUAGUCUUGUAUCUGUACCUCAGACUAGCUGUGUCAUCUUUGAGUGAAAAAAUAACACGAUAAAGUGCUAUGAUCUUUUUUUUGCUAACUGCUGCCGCUAGCUUUAGUCAUUAAAACAAAAUAAUGUAUCAAUUAUAUAAACUGUGGUUCUCUGGGUUAUGCUUUAAACUUUUGUUGCCUAAAUAUAUGCCUAGUGUUUCUUAAUUUUUCUUCUUUCCUAACAAAACACUGCAGUUUCUUACUGAUUUUGACUGUCAAAAAAAUUUGGACCGAAAAAAUAUGGUUAGGUUUGUAAAAAAAAUUUGGACCAUUUCUCGAUUUGUGCGUGUCAUCCUUGCGCAGGGGCCAUGCUAAUCUUCUCUGUAUCGUUCCAAUUUUAUCGGAUGUCCCCGAAGGGACAAAAGGAUGUCAGGCAGCCAUGAAAUAUAAGCAUGAUGUUUUUUAGAUAUGUAUCUAUGUGGGAUAUUUAGGUGUAAGACUUGAAUGUUCUAUGUAACCUUUCCAGGCUCCAGCGGACUUUUAGUUGCCAGCUUUUGAAAUCUUGUUGAAACUGCUGAUAAUAGAUCCCAAGUUUUUUCACAGUACACAUACAUGCUUAGUAAACAAAGGAAAAAGUUCUCUGAACAUAGGGUAAAACUAUGUCACCUCUAACCUUUUUACUCGGUAAACAGAAGUCUGGAAUGAAGUCUUAAAUUAUUAGGUGCUUCUCCUCAUUGUAUAUUGAUAUUCAUACGUAAUUUAAUUGUGUUCCGCGGAUAUUGGCUGACAAAAUGAACAAUCUUGAGCAAUAUUGCAUUGUAAUCUCAAAAAUCAUUUAUUUGGCAGAGGGAUGUGCACCAGAAGCGGCAUCCCUACCAUCCAAAGUUGUUCCAAAGUGAUGCAAUUUAAGAAUGUCAAGAAGUUACCAUCCAAAACAUUAUGCACAUCUCUUUCUUUCUCUUCUGUUAAAUUUCUUUCAUGAGUGCAUUUUCAAAUAAUUGUAAUUGAUUUUCCUAGGAAUUUUAAAUAGUUAUUAUAUUAAGUUUUUAAUUUCUCUGCCCUUUUGUAUUGCAAAGUUGUCAUAUUUGUUAAUGUAGUUUUUGCAUUUUAGCAGAAUUGCGGCAAGAUCUCCACAGGCUCAGGUCUUCUGCAACUGUGUUCUUGAAGGUUAAUUCUUUUUUCUUAAACCAUGAUAAUUGUAAUUUUUGUUUGUAAUUUUAGUGCCUCUAACUUGCUGGUCGGUUGGUUUGAAUUAAUUCGAAAGCCAAAGAACUUCAUUGUACUUCUUUCUUCAACUAAAAAAUAAUAAUUCUAUAUUGUUUUUUAAACACAGGGAUGCUUUUCUCGAGAACCUUGGUUGAAUAUAAUAUAGUAGCAUACUGCACAAGACUACAAGUUGGAUGUCCAAUAUUCCAACCUAGCAUAGUUGGUCCGUUAUUACCAAGAUUUACUUGAAACAAACCAAUUACUGAACUUAUGUGGGCGGUUUUAUUGAACAUACCAAGUUUUACUUAGUUAUUAUCACAGAAAUAUAAAUUUAUAAAGACAGGCAUUGAUCUCUCCAGAAAGAAGACAAUGGGCUUCUCAAGCUGGCUUUAUACCAACAGCACAAAACAGGUACUGAAGAUUGUUCAUCCUGGUGGCCAUGCAGAGCUUCACGAUAGGCCGGUCCUGGCUGCUGAGAUAAUUAACCGGAAUCCAAGAUGCUGUGUUGCACAUCCCAAUAUUUUCCAACAACCUUGGGCCAUUGUUGCACCAGACACUACGUUGAUGCCUGGUCAGAAAUUCUACGUGGUGCCAGUAAGUACCAUAAGACGGCUUCAAAAAUUGUCUUUGAAGUAUAAUACUUCUCAUAAUCAAGAUGUUAAUCAAAAUAAUAAUGGUUUAACUGGAGAAGUUGAUAGCUUCCGCACUACUUGUUGGAAGUUCAAGCCCUCGAAUACUUCAAACGGGGUAACAUCAGAUGAUAGUUACUGUGCAUGUUUGAGAAGUGGGAAAAAGUUAAAAGGAAACAACAAUGAAGAAUCCAGCAAGGAGAAACUGGCAAGCAACUUAACUUUUUCAGAGUCAGAGACGAGGAGCAACGAUAAUAGUACGAGGGGAGGAGGACAACAUCCCAAGAGACUUAUUGCUCUUGAUAACUGGCAUCCGGGACUAGAGAGCAUUGGUGAAGAAAUAGCUCCUGCUUAAUUCACCGGCUUCUGAAUAUAAAUAUUUAUGUUUGAACACAUGGCAUCUUACUUGGAAUAACAGGGAGAAAGGUCUAUUAUUUGAUUUUGUUUAUUGAUUCAUAUAUUGUUAUCAGAUUGUAAGUUUAGGUCAGUAGUACCUUCACCUAUCACUAUUCUUAGGAUUGGCAUGUCCAAGACUUGUUUAAUAUGAUUUAGAGUUUUUUCUUUUGCUUUGGGGAGCACAUGAUUUGAUGCCUCGAAGAGGAUUUAAGUGGUCUACAAGUAUCUAUAUAUGAGCCGAGCUGUUUAUUCUUUUAACUUGGAAAAUUAAGUGUCUUGGCUCAAAUAAAGCUCAUUCUUAGAGUCCUUUUAUAAAGUUAAGAGCUUUCCUCUCUUUUAGCUUUAGGAGCUCCGCAUGACUUAAAACUUAUUUUUUAUGAUAAAAAAUUCGUUCUCUUUUACUCAUCCAUCACUUUUUCCUCUCUCUAAAAUGUGUACCAUCUUUCUAAGCGGCAUAUAUUUUUAUAUUAUACUUGAGAGCAAUUAGAAGACUUUUGGAGAUGUCUUACGGCUUUUUUUGUUAUAUCUCACUAUCUCAGCUCAUAUGUAAUUAUUUGCAAUUCACCGAAUAGAGAGCACUUCAUCGAUGCUCCUAGUUGAGAGCCUCUUGGUACUAUAAUCACCAGCAGUUUUGUUAUAACGUUGUAUUCCCUUUUUUUCAUCUCCCCAGUAUCAGUUAACUUCUCCUUCCUUUCCUUGGACGUUUGUUUGAUUAAACCGGCAGUAUCUUUCGAUCAUUGUCAUGAUCUUUUCGAUCUUAUUUUUCGCUGUUGCAUACUAGCCACUAUAUAUUUGAUCUUCAGUUAAAAUGGUCUGAAACCAUGCUCUUAAAUCUUAAUUUAGAUCCAUAGAUUACACGAUAAUGACAUAAUGUUCCUAUAGAAUUUGAAUUUCAUCGGAAUUAAAAAUUUAGAUGACCUGCAGAACAACCAAAUUUGGAAAACAAAUUAUUGUAAUUACAAGUGAACAAUGAAUUUUGUGAGGUACAGACGUACGGUCAUAAUCAAUGAAUAAAAUCAAUGCUAGCUGACAAUGUAUAUGAAAAGGAACUGAACCUUAAGGUGCAAACCAAAAAUACUUGAUCAAAUUUGGUGGGGUGAGCCAGGCCAACGCAGUAGUGCAACGCUUAGGCGACUCGCGAAGCCCCCAAUAGCAAGCUAUUGUGACGGGACCUCCCCCUCAAAAAAUAAAUUUAAUAUCGUGUGAGCCAAUGGCCCACAUAUCAGAUAUUAAACUGAUAAGAACAGAUACUACACUUGAUCUUAGCCAAAAGGCCGAGAAAGGUAUGCUUUUCAUCAAGGGCCAGCGUGGUUUAUAUAUACAACUGACAUCAGGAAUUAGUUUAUGGAUAUGAUGUGGGACAAAAACAGGUUACUUAGAUAACAAAACACACACCUUCCCUUUCGCUCUGCUGCAGCAGUGCACUUGAACGUUCAAGUGCAUCAUGAAACCAGCAUAAUAACAUGUUGUACAUCCACUGCCUAGCUAACAUCUAUCAGCUCAGAAAUUAACUUUUUAUCAACUGCACCUUCUGACCACAUAUAUAUUUCAACUCUUCAAGGCCAUAUAUGAUAAGUGUUCAAAGUAUUGGUAACUUCAAUACUCAUUUCUGUGUCUUGAUAUUUUAAGAUUUAUUUGUACAUAUCGUCUUAGUUGAUACAAGUGGACAAGGAGUCAUGUGGGGGUCAAUAUCCGGAUUAGAUCAACUCCUCUCUAUAUUUAUCACAGAAUAGGCGGCUUUGAAAUAAUCUUGUAUGUGCCUCUACAGACUGAAUGAACAGAUCACAUAUGCACAAGGUACUAAAGUAUUUAUUGUGUCUCACCAGAACAUAAGUAUGAAAAUCUUUAUUUAAUUUCAACUUCUUUUAAUAAGUUUGAAUUUAUGCAAUUGACUUGAUAUGCUUAAGAUUCAGCAUCUCCUUCUUCCAUAAAUAUCUCUGUAAAAAUAAAUCCUCAUAGAGAUCAGAGCCACUGAAAGUGGAAAUAUAUUAGGAAUGAACUCAAAUUCUUGUUAGUGAAGGUAACUCAUAUACAAUACAACCAAGAGAAUUGCUGAUGAGUAUGCAACUCCUGGUAUGAUAGCGUAAAAGCACUUGUUUCCCAGUUACAUGUUCCACUAUCUACCCCCAAAAAAAGAAACUAAAGCCUCUGUCAAUUACACUACCACAAUGCAGUAAUGUACUAAUGCAGUGUGAGAUCAUUCUUAAAUGAAGAACCAAAAAAAAAGUUAAGGGUCUGUCAGACAACUGCAUGACCACCCCAGCCGCACUGACCGGGAAGAGCUGUUAAUCACGCUCUGGUCAAGCAGUCUUUUGUCAUCCACCAGACUUGGUGACCUGCUUCCUUAGAAAUCAAGGAUGCAGAGGUACGAUCCUAUAGAACAGAUCCUGUUCAAGUAAGGUCGUGACAAGUAGUGUAUUACAACACCUUUAAAAGCAAACAAUGUUUGUCAGUUUAUCUCGAUGUGGUAUAGUUUUCUACUUGAUUUCCAGCCACAUAUAGAAUUCCCACAUCCUCGUUACAACACGAAAUGUAGCUUUUCCAUCUAAUUAAGAAUUUAUCAGAAUAAACAUGAUGUAGGAGAAACUUGAACUAGAAUUGUAGGGUUUGAUCCAAAAGGACAAACCCUCCAAAAAUAGGCGUAUGCCACUGUCAGUGACGAGCACACGGUAUUCUUUAGUAAAAGGCGAAAGAAUAGUUCGCUUUGUGCUCAUCACAUGGCUGCGUGCUCUAAUCACUGCGCAGACAGUUGUUUUUUAUAGACAUUUCGUAGUCAUGCUCUCCUUGUGUUCACAAUGUGGGAUAAGAAACCUGGCUACCUAUCAUCUAUGUGAAUGUAUCAACAGUUUGUGUUAAACAAUGGCAAGCAGUCCUAUUCUCCUCACUAUAAUAAAUUCUUUAAAUUUGUUCCGGCUUAUAUUAUGAGUUGUUUUCUGGUAGAGUAGAAUUUAUUAUGAGCCGGUUUCAGAUAGAGUAGAAUUUCUUUUUACAUUCUUAGCCAUUCUUUUCAUAGCCAAAUUUAUGGGUAGAAACAUCUGGUGGUGGUGCCUGGGCACAUGUGCUUAGUCUAAGUUCUUAUUUUCCUUUUUCCAAACAAAAGAACUAGACCGCUUUGGAUUAAGUGUGAAAAAAUAUUAAAGGAACAAAAAUUCGAUCAUUUCCUCUGUGUAGCCGUAGAUGGUGCACGUACCAGGGAUUGCUUCAAGCAGUCAUUUUUCAUCCACAAAACAAAGUGUCCUGCCUCCUCUGAGAUCAAGAACGCAGAAAUAGUUAACGCUCUAUAAUUCUCUUUGUUUUCCCAUUAGGACGAAAUCCUACUGUAUACUUCUUUUUGUACCCUGUAUGAUCUCCAUCUGUAUAGGUUGAUUUUUCCUAUUUCCAGGGCAGAGACCAAGUUUUGAGAUGCUAAAUAUCAUUAUGAGAAAAUUAUAGUACUUCAAAUUAGCCAAUGAUAUAUGGUACCUUAGUAUAUGUAUACUUGAAAAUCCAAAAGAACAUAUAUUGUAUGGCUGACAUGUUUUUAAGUCAUCCGAUCCGUUGGGAUCCUAGAUAACAAGGAAAUAACAGUAAAGCAGUAAUAUCAUUUGUCAAGUACCAAGAAAUCACUAAGGUCUAUGCUGAAUCACAGGUCAGGGAGGACAUACAUUUACCAAUUCUUCGACAUUCAAGGCUUGAUACCCGCAAAAAAAAAAUACCAAUAAUUGCCUAUAAAAUUUUUCAAGUGAAUGCAUGCAGAAACCAGUUUGAAGCAUACAUGACACAUUGCCACCGUGCACUAGAGCUAUGCUUUUUUUAUUUCAAACUGCACCGGUGAAGAUGAAGAUUAGAACUAUAUACCAGUUUUCACCAUUUUUCCAAGUUACGGUUCAUUUUAGAAAACUGGUAUUCCAGGUACAGAUUUGUUCUCUCAAAAUAUCUGUAGUUCAGUUAAAUUUGUUUAGGCAUCCUGCUGCAGUUAUUGAUUUGUAAUCAGCUGUAGUCUUGUAGACCGGUUAAACCUUAAACUAGACCUGUUCGGGUCGGUCCAAAAGGACAAAAGUCCAAAAAGACCGACCCUCCAAAAAUUAGCCACAAGUGACGAGAAAAAGUUUUCUUUAAGCAAAAAGAAAGAAGUUUGUAGGGCUUUACCCUGGGUUAGAGGGAGCCCUUCCAGAAAUUCUCGAUGGCACAAGGCAGAACCAAGGCCAAGGAGGGGGUUUGGAAAUAGUUUUCAACCAGCAAUUGACGCGCCUCGGUUAGUACCUCACUAGCUGCGUCAUUGCCCCAAGCGCAAAGAUACAUUCUUCAAAGACCUUGUUCCUCUUUUAAGCUGAUGUUUUUCACACGUUUCGUGCAACAACGCGAUGUGGUACAUAUGACUGUCUCAUUUAAAUUCAGAAGACUUCAGGUAUUUUCUUGAGUGAUAGAUGCGAAAUGGAUAUUGCUCUCAAGAGUCCAACAGGAAAGAAUACUGUGAUAAUAUUUUGAUUGUUUUCGUCAUGUCAAAGUGGUUUAAAAUAAACUUCAAAAAAAUGCAAAAUCCUUUUACAAUUACAACCCUAUAAAACGUGAAUUUUUCUUACGCUUACAUCAAUAAACAAUAUAAAAAAUUAAAUACACUUGUCAAGACAAAAACUCUAUUAUUAUCCUUUCAAAUGUAAUUCAUAUAAAUAAAAAGUAAAAUUACUAUCAUUAACAUAUAUUAAUAUUAAUAUGAAACAAUAUUUAAGAUGAAUAUAUACUCCCUCCGUCCCAGCCAUUUGUAUACAAAUGGUUGGAACACUGAGACAAAGAAAAAAAAUGUAAAAAAUGAGUAAAGUUAGAUGAAAAGGAGGUAUAGUGUUGGGAUCCACUUAUAUUUAAUACUCCCUCCAUUUUAAUUUACAUGUCCACUUCUAAUAAAAAAUUUUGUUUCAAAUUACAUGUCCACUUCAACUUUCAAUGCAAAAUCAUAUUUCCAAAGUUAAUUCUACUCCACAUAUCUCUUAUUUAUAUUUCCUACAUCAAUCUCACUCCACAUAUUUUGAUCAUUUAAUGCAAUUAAUUUGUGA
Molecule: long non-coding RNA, 59152 nt
Filed under: Daucus carota (carrot)
Lineage: Eukaryota; Viridiplantae; Streptophyta; Magnoliopsida; Apiales; Apiaceae
Source: RNAcentral